CCGACAGGCCGGCCUCUCCUCUAAUCCUCCUUCGCUCUCCAUCUCGCUACUAUCUAGAUCUACUCUAGUUUAGAGAAGAGAGGAGAGCUCUCAUCUCUAAACCCUAGCUUUUGCUCUGUCUAUGAAUAAUGAAUAAUGAUCAAGGGGUGUCUCCUCCAGGGGCCAGGGGGUCUGGUUUUAUAGUCCCCUCAAGUGAACCUGGGUCGUCGGAUCAUACCGACAUUGAUUGAACGGUUAUUCUUGAUCCUUUAGGUCGGUGGAGCAUAAUCCGCGAGAUUGAGCGUGAUUGGCCGAAAAAGGUGGGCGUGCGCCCUAAGGACUUGGGCGGGCGCCCUGUCCCUGACUCCGUUCGGUCUCCGCUUCCUUCUCGUGGCUUCUGGAGUCUUCUAGAUGUAAGAUAAUUGCGCGGCACGUUGAUAUCUCUAUGUAAUCCCGACGUGUGGGCCUUUCUUCCUUAUUUCCUGAUAACCCCCUGCAGAAAUAGACAAACACCAAAACUCGUGGAAUUCUAUCAGAUAAAACCCUAAGUCUUGAAGUUGAUUUCAUUUGGAUCCUUUUCUUUGUUUAUUUGAUAGUUAAAUUUGAUACUUAAGGACCGUCAACAAACUCCCCCAAGCUUACCUCUUGCUCGUCCCUGAGUAAGGAUAGACUCAGCUAUGGAUCAUAAGUUGUUGCAAUAUCUUUAAAAAUUGACGGUACACAUGCUUUUAAAUGAGGUCUCAUCUCUGAUUUAGAGUAAACUGUCAAGACUUAAAACUUACUUACUUUACCUUUCACCAUGGGACUUGUAACCGUCACUUCUGUCUUGAGUGGUUAAAAGAUAGAACAGUCCCGUCAAGUGCCAUGUCUCUUAUUCUUGAUCAGCUAUAGCUCUGGAGUUUUUGUAGAUUUUCAAAUAAAACUCAGAGAUUCCUUUGUAUGACUCUCUCGUAUCUCUCUUUUGUGGUAUUUCUGGAUCCUUACCAAGGCAGUGAUGGUAUAUGCCUUCUCUCAAAAUAUGUGGUAUUUGUGGUAUAAGGCAUAGUGACAUUGCCUUCUCUCUCACCCUACUCUAAUAAGGCUUUAAUAUCUGGAGCUCAUAGGUGGGAGAUAAAGUAUACAUACUUACAAGACAUUUAUUGUAUAGUCAAACCAUGGAUCCAAAGAAACAAAUCAAUAAGCCAAAUCAAGAUGUGCAUGUGUGGCGAAUGAAUGGUGUAUAGUGAUGAUGGUGAUAACAAUGGUGAAAGUCUAAUUCUACUUUUGCUCUUAUGAGGGGAUACAUACCUUCCUUGCUUUUUGAAACUUUAUGAGGAGAAUGAGAUGCUCUUCUUUUUCUUUCCUCUCAGGUGGGUAUCUUGUACCCCUAAUUCUACUGUCGGACACUUGUCCAUUUUUACCUCUCGUCUCACUUUUUCUUUCUUUCGAGGUUCCGGGCACUUGCCCCUUUUUAUUUCCUCGUUUAUUAUUAUUUUUUUUUCUUUUCUUCUCUUUUCUUUUUUUUCAGAGCACUCAUCUCCUGAAAUAAUGUAGCAAGUGGUAGUAACCAAAAUAACUGGAGCAUUUAUUUCACAGGGAAUAACAGGGAUAGGAAAAUGUUUUUGGCUAUUCUCUCCCGGAUUAGGAGUAGAAUGAUUUUGGGUGAAACUGGAGAUGGAAAUGGAUGGAUAUAUGUGGAUGGUACUUCCGGAGUAGAAGUAGCAUAUAUAUGAGUGAACGUGCAAGUGAAUCUUGAUUUAACCACAUGACAAGCUCCUAAGGGUCUACACAGCUUGACCACACUCAAUGCUCAUAAGCAGUAAAUAAUAAAUGUGUGGCUCAAAGUCUAGCAAGCAUGUAUAUAUGGCUGUGGUAGGAAUUCAAACUUUCAUCAUACAGGAACUCAUCAUGCAACAUUUUAAAGAUUUUUCAAAGAUAAAAUUCUCCAGAAUUCUAGCAUCUCUAGGAAUAGAUAAACAGCAGCUCAACCUUCCCAUAUCAUAUCCGUUAACAACUUAGAUUUCAGAUCAAGUUUUCAUCCCACAAGUUUAGAUCUAGAGCAAGCUUUAAAUUAUAACAGUUAUGUCUAAACUUGAGAGAGAACUUCAAAUUUGCAAAUUAGGUAGAGCAACUAUUCAUCAUAUCCAUGCUAGAGUUUUAUUAUUAAGAUUCAUAGGAAACUUUAUUUAUUUAUUUAUUUAGCAAACUAAGAAAAGAGAUAUAUAUAAGCAUAAAAUCUUUAUUUGGUUUUUCAUAGUUUAUGUAUUUUAAUAUUCUAAUAUAAUAUAAGUAUAAAGAUAGGUAGAAAUACUUAGCGAGAUAAAUAGGGGUGCUCUCCCCCAAGCUGAAUUUUGACGUAAUUUCUCUUGAUGUAGCUAGCAGGUGGCAGAGGUGUACUUGAAAGUCAGCAGCAUUCUGACAGCGAUUAGAAUGUCCUCCGUCUGCUAGUCUUCUUGAUUCUUAAAUUCUGUGGAGCUCAAAUAGACAACAAAGCUUGUGGAACUAAUUAAGUGUUAGCAUAAAUAUCUAGCCUUCAUCACGUUGAGCUUCCUCAAUAAAUAUUACUCCCUGUUUUUUAUAUUUUUAUUUUAUAAAGUAGAAAAGAAAUAUUUGUUUUAUUUUUAUGCCACCACAGUGAAGGUACUUAUGGGUUUUAUGCCACUCGUAUACUCACAUGGGGCUUAGUAUUUUUUAACAUUUUUAUUUUCUUUUCAAGAUAGCAUGAUUAACUAAUAAUCUAUUUAAGGAAAGUAAAUAAUUAAAUGGAAAAGGGAAUGCAGAAAGGAUAUAUAUGGAUAACUACCAAUCUUACCUUUUGGCAAGGGUUCAAUGUUUUAAGUCUUCUUGUCAAGACUUCUCAUCGUGUUCAUUCUUCACGUGCGUCAUUUGAUUGAGGUGCGGACCUUGACGUCUGCACCUUUUAAUACGGUGUCACCUAUGUUCUUCGUUUGCCCAGCAGUUCAAAGUGCGGUGUUAGCAGUAUCUUGCUCAGUGUGUUUGUGCUCGUAGUGUACCUGCUCAUAGAGACAAGGCAGAGAUCAAGUGCAUGGGUCCUGUUGGUGGAAAACACCAACAGAACCUAAAGUGUAUUUGUUCUUCUUUAACCCUAAGCAUAGUGAGCAAGACAAAGUUGAUGGAUGAAAAGUUCAUGAGUGUAGCACUUAUAACAUUUGUCAGAUCAGAUCGCUCAACCUUAUGGAAAGAUAAUUUAUCUAUGUAUAUGUCUUUUUCUUUAUAUCUCUCAAUGAUUGAAUGUGUAACAUUUUAGCCCAUAUGAUUAGGAGUGUGGGAUCAUGGAGGUAGUACUAAGAACAAAGAUUAAAGGACUAAACAUGUUGAAUCAGUUGGGUUGGUUAAUCUAGAGUUGUAAAUCAUACACGUUUGUCUCUUUUAUUUAUAUGAACGCCAGAACGAAGGAGAAGCUUAUAAAAGUGAUAGUCAAGUACCUUAAGAUGUUACCUUGCUUGAAGAGUGAUGGUACAGUAUCAUCUUGUGGAAGCUUUCCUUUCUUAGCGGUUGUGCAUCGUGUUUGUGGCACCCUCCAUGGAUCAUCUCUCUAUGAUGAAUGAGCUAUGUCCUUCUUGUGCAAAUUGUUAAACUUCAUGUGUCACUCUCUUCGUCUCUGAUGUGAGUUUAUCUCAGGACUUCCCAAAUCGAUAUUGAAAGUUUUUUCUGCAGGGGUUAGUUCGACAAAAUAUACCAAUAUCUACUCAAGCAGUUUUUUUUAGUUCAAUAACCAAACUAGACUCCAUGUCUAAUCAGAUUAAGGAAGGCUAUUUAACCUAAGCACCAUGCUUAAUUUAAAUGCCAAUGGAAGUAUGGCGAGUACUUCCAAACCAACACUUGCUAGUAAAUAGACAAAGGUAGCAUGACAGCAUUUAUAGAGAUCUACUCAAGUGGAGAUGAAGUAGUGUGAUUAGUAUUUAACAAAUUGAGCAUGUCUCAAAGGUAGGGACAACCAGCAUAGCAACAUGGUAAAGGAUGUUUUUAUGUAAAGUACUCCCCCAAGCUUGAAUUUUGCAAAAUUCAAGUUUGGAUGAAUUUAAUUCAAUGUUGUAUGAUGAUUGGUUGGACAUACCUUGUGCUUGUCAUUCAUCCGAUCUUCUUGCUCCAAUCCUAGAAAGGUUAGUGACAAGAAUACCCGAAGGAAUAUUUUUUUACAAUUAUCCUUAUAUGCUCAAUACACAAGGUAAUGUUGCAAAUAAUUAAAAGCUCAUGUUACGAGCUGAUCAAUGCUUAUUUUAAGACACUAAGCUUGUCCUUGGGAAACCAUCAGUUUAUGUUGGCGACGUGGUUUCCCCUCCGACGCCAACCUAUAUCUAGAUCAACUCAACGAGAUCUACAAUAUUUAUUAUAGACAUAUGCAUCGACAACCGCCCUUUUAAAGUUUUUAUAAAUAGAAAGGAAGAGGGGGUUGGAGAUCUCAAGUGUGGUGAUGUCGGAGAGACCAAUAGAUUGGGAAGAUGUUGCAUAUGAGCAUGGAGUAAACGAAGUGGCUAUGAAAUAAAUUCCAUGCUCAUUAAUGUUAUCUUCGUCUCUAAUCUGAAUGUUCGGAGUUUCUCCUGGAUUGGUCUCACCUAUGUCCUCUUCUGUAGUUGGAUGAAUCUCAUCUUCAAAGGGAGUCAAGAACUCACCAUUUGAAUUUGAGCCAAAGUCAGUACCUAUUAAGGCUUCUUCCUUAUCCAUCCAUUUUACACAUUCUAGCCAUUUAGAACUUGUGAUCAAAAUAGGGGAGGUGUUAGAAUUUUCUAUAUGGCUUAGCUCUCCUUCUAUGGCAUUACUUGACAUGCCAUCCUUAUGGUCUUCAUGACUCCUAUGGUUUGGUCGUCUUGGUGAAUUGCUAGGAUCAUCAUGAGACUGAAAAGAAGAGGGAUAAGAGGGAUCUCUAAGGUCAAGGAUGGAUUUAGAACUUGUGAACAUGGAAGGGGAGUAGAUAGAAUUGUCUAUAUGGCUUAGCUCUCCUUCACUUGAUAUGUCAUCCUCGACUUCUUCAUGAUAGGAACCAGGACAUUCUCUAAGAGAAACAUUAUUGCAAUGAUUUGAAUUAUCCCUGCUUGAAGGUCUCUUAUAGAACCAGAAGUCUAAACCAUCAGCAUCUAAAAGAUUUAAGGUCGGAAUUCCUUCCUCCCUUGGAGAAUUUUGGGGUAUUGAUGGUUUAGGAUCGAUAGCUAAAGUUUGGGAUUGAAGUGGUUGUGAUCUGGCUAUCGAAACUUCUUCUUCUUGUCUAGGAACUGGUUCUGUCUCUUUCUCAGGGAUAUAAAAGUUAGGAGACUUUCCGCUCAUUAAAUCAAUCAAAUUCCAAGCUUCACUAGCGGAUAGGUGGUGGAAAGAUCCUCCAGAGGCCGCAUGAAGGGUUUGCUUAUUUUCCCUACUAAGGCCCUCAAAAAAGUGAAUUAGAAGAACUUCUUCUGGAAUAGAAAGCUUUGGGCCAGUGAGAGUAAGGUUAAUAAAGCGGUCCCAUGAUUUGCCAAGAGAUUCUUCUUCCAGUUGUCUAAAAGAAAGAAUCUCACGCCGAAGUUCCACCACUUUGGAGAUUGGAAAAUAUUUAGAAAGAAAACUACUAUAUAACUCCUUCCAAUCUCCAUGAACACUCCCUACUUUGAGUUUAUACCAAUGUCUAGCUUUUCCCGUUAAAGAGAACGGAAAGAGCUUCCAUUUAAGGGUCUCAUCGGACAUGCCUUCUAUGCGAAGGAGGUCACAGACUCGAUAAAACUCUCUUAGGUGUGUGUAUGGGUUUUCCUCACCUUCUCCUGAGAAAGGUUGUUUUUGAAUAAAUUCUAUGUAUUCGGGGUCUAUCUCAAAACUAGAUGCUAUGAUAGGCUUUGAAGAUUUUGGUGGUUCGAGAUGUGUGCCCAUAGGUCUUUGAAAUUCAUAGAUAGACAUGUUUGAAUUCAUAAUAGACCAGAGAUCAAGGAUUAGAUAAGAAGAAAGAAUAGUAGAGAUGAGGCAAAGGAUAAAAGGAAAUUUUUUUUUUUGUUAUAUAUUUUUUUUUUAUAAAAUGAUUAAACUAGUUCGUAGUCAACUCAGCAACCGUUUCCCCGGCAACGGCGCCAAAAAUGCUUGUUGACACUUGCUAACACCACUUGAAUACUAGGUUGUCAUCCCCAGCAUGGCACUAGAGUGUACUAUGGUAUUUAUAUGCACACAGAUAAUCCGCAAGCGCACGGAUACCGUUGAAGCUUUUACACGGUUAAAGGUUUUAUCGUAUCCACAGGGAAACGGAAGAACCAACUAUGCUCUAACUUAACCAAGAUAGAUAGAUAGGUGUAAAUAGGAAAGAUGAUAGAAUCGAAUAAGAACAAUAUUAAAGGUAAGAUAACAGUGAGUGAUAAUAUGGGAAUAGAGAAUAGAGCAAUUCUAGUAUAUGGGCGAUGGUAGCAGAAUAGAGAGGAUAACUAUGGUUUCUCUACUUCAAAGGGGUAUGUCUAUGUCUGGGACGAACCACGUGAUAAGAGUACACCACAAAGGAUGCUUAUCCUUAGGCCGAUAAACCCUACCCGUCCUGCUAACGAGAGGUGGACUACAGGGGACCAACGUAACUGUCACCUACGCGGCCUACCACACGAUCCAGCUAGUCAGGGAAUAUCCACAAGUAAUCUAGGUCUAAGCACCACGCUUACACCUAUACUACAACUCUAACCUAUAGGGUCCUAUAGAUUAGAAGUACUCAAAAGAGUUGUGAACCAGAACAUACAUGAUUAGUAAUUGCAUAAUGAAUUAGAAGUAGAUUACUAGAGUCAUCCCAUGAGCAAGCUUGAUUAGAGCUUGAUCAUGGCGAAGUACAACCGGAGGAAGAACCGACAGGCCGGCCUCUCCUCUAAUCCUCCUUCGCUCUCCGUCUCGCUACUAUCUAGAUCUACUCUAGUUUAGAGAAGAGAGGAGAGCUCUCAUCUCUAAACCCUAGCUUUUGCUCUGUCUAUGAAUAAUGAAUAAUGAUCAAGGGGUGUCUCCUCCAGGGGCCAGGGGGUCUGGUUUUAUAGUCCCCUCAAGUGAACCUGGGCCGUCGGAUCAAACCGACAUUGAUUGAACGGUUAUUCUUGAUCCUUUAGGUCGGUGGAGCAUAAUCCGCGAGAUUGAGCGUGAUUGGCCGAAAAAGGUGGGCGGGCGCCCUAAGGACUUGGGCGGGCGCCCUGUCCCUGACUCCGUUCGGUCUCCGCUUCCUUCUCGUGGCUUCUGGAGUCUUCUAGAUGUAAGAUAAUUGCGCGGCACGUUGAUAUCUCUAUGUAAUCCCGACGUGUGGGCCUUUCUUCCUUAUUUCCUGAUAACCCCCUGCAGAAAUAGACAAACACCAAAACUCGUGGAAUUCUGUCAGAUAAAACCCUAAGUCUUGAUGUUGAUUUCAUUUGGAUCCUUUUCUUUGUUUAUUUGAUAGUUAAAUUUGAUACUUAAGGACCGUCAACAAGCGCGUUUCUAGAUGCAAAACGUUUUAGGAAAAUAUAUGUGUGACCCAAAAACGUCAGAUUAAAGAGGUCGGGCUCUAAUUCUCCAUGGGAAGGUAAAAAUGGAUUACGUCAAUUACUUCUAAUUCUUUAUUGGGCUCUAAAAAUAAUUUAAGACGUUGACCAUUUACCUUGAAUAACGUACCUUCGUCAUUUUGAAGUGUGAUAGCUCCAUGGGAUGAUGAAUGAUUACCUUGAAUGGUCCUUCCCAUUUACUCUGGAGUUUUCCAUGCCCGAAAAGCUUCACCGUAGAAUUAGAAAGUAAUACCUUAUCUCCGGGUGCGAACUCCUUCUUCUUGAUUCUCUUGUCAUGCCACCUUUUGACUCUUUCUUUGUAGAUCUUCGAGUUGUGAUAUGCUUUCUCUCGCCAUUCUUCCAAUUCUGAUAGUUGCAUUCUUCUAUGAUCUCUAGCGACAUCUAGGUCCACAUUUCAUCUCCUUAUGGCCCAGUGCGCUUUGAACUCUAGUUCAACAGGUAGGUGGCAAGUCUUCCCGUACACCAAUUGGUAUGGGGACAUUCCAAUUGGGGUCUUGUAUGCUGUCCGGUAUGCCCAGAGUGCAUCGGGUAACUUGUCUUUCCAUGCCGUUCCCAUUUCAUUCACUGUCUUCUGAAGAAUAUUCUUGAUUUGUUUGUUGGAAGUCUCUGCUUGGCCACUUGUCUGAGGAUGGUAGGGGGUAGCGACGUUGUGACGGAUUCCGUGUUUUGAUAGAUAUUGCUUGAAGCGCUUGUCGAUGAAGUGUGCUCCUCCUUCACUUAUCACUACUCUGGGAACUCCAAAUCUUGGAAAUAUAAUUUCUUCAAACAUCCUCUUUGAACUGAUGUUUUCGGCAUGCUUGCAAGGUAAUGCCUCUACCCACUUGGAGACGUAGUCAACUGCCACCAAGAUGUACUCACACUUCUUUGAUGGGGGAAAUGGACCCAUAUAGUCUAUUCCCCAGAAAUCAAAGAGCUCAACCUGAAGGUUGUUGGUGAGUGGCAUGGCAUCCCUUGUGUUUAUGUUUCCGUGCCUUUGACAUGGCCCACAUCUUCUAAUAUAUUGCUUCGUGUCUUCAUACAUUGUAGGCCAGUAGAAUCCACACUGCCAGAUCUUUGAAUGUGUAUGGAAUGCUCCAUAGUGACCUCCAUAUGGUGAUGAAUGGCAUCUGUCGAUGAUCUUCCAUCCUUCCUCAGUGGUCACACAUCUCCUGAGUAAGCCAUCAGAGCAUACUCGGAAGAGGUAUGGCUCAUCCCAUAUAUGUGAACGACUUUCUUGAAUAAGCUUCUUCUUGUUUGCUCCUGGUGGUACAUACCCUGAAACCAUAAAAUUAACAAUAUCUGCAUACCAGGGGUCAGACCUAUUAAUCUCAUAGAGCAUGUUAUCCCGGAGUGAAUCAUUGAUGGGGGUUUCCUGUGGACUCUUAAAAUACAUUCUAGACAAGUGAUUAGCAAUAGAAUUUUCUACUCCCUUUUUAUCUUUUAUUUCUAAGUCAAAUUCUUGGACUAAUAAGAUCCAUCUAAUUAGGCGAGGUUUAGCAUCUUUUUUAGUGAGCAAGUAUUUUAGUGCAGCAUGAUCAGUGUAAACAAUUAUUUUAGGUCCAACUAAAUAAGAUCUAAAUUUAUCAAUGACAAAGACAACAGCCAGAAGCUCUUUUUCAGUGGUUGCAUAAUUAAGUUGAGCUCCUGUCAAAGUUUUACUAGCAUAAGCAAUUGCAUGAUGCUUCUUAUUUUUAGUUUGUCCCAAAACUGCCCCCACAGCAAAAUCACUAGCAUCACACAUAAUUUCAAAAGGCAACGACCAAUCAGGGGGUUGAAUGAUUGGUGCAUAGAUGAGUGCUUUCUUUAAUAAAUUCAAAGAUGUUAGACAUGCAUCAUCAAAUUUGAAAGGAGCAUCCUUGGCUAGCAAAAGAGUAAGGGGUCUAGCAAUAAAUGAAAAAUCUUUUAUGAAUCUACGAUAAAAACUAGCAUGGCCAAGAAAGCUUCGAAUUCCUUUUAUAUUCACAGGUGGAGGUAGUUGUUCAAUUACUUCAAUUUUAGCUUUGUCUACCUCAAUACCUCUUUCAGACACUAGGUGUCCCAGCACUAUUCCUUCCCUAACCAUAAAAUGACAUUUUUCCCAAUUAAGGACUAAGUGCUUUUCUUCACAUCUAUGCAAAACCUUGUCUAAGUUUUCAAGACAAUUAUCAAAAGUUUUUCCAUAAACAGAGAAAUCAUCCAUGAAAACUUCCAUAAUCUCUUCUAUCAUAUUAGAAAAUAUAGACAUCAUGCAUCUUUGAAAAGAAGCUGGUGCAUUACAUAACCCAAAAGACAUUAUACGGAAGUAAAAGUUCCAUAUGGGCAUGUAAAAGUGGUUUUGCUUUGAUCAUCGGGAUGGAUCGGGAUCUGGUGAUACCCGGAAUAUCCAUCUAAGAAACAGAAGAACGAAUGGAUCGCUAAUCGCUCUAGCAUCUCAUCUAUGAAAGGUAAAGGAAAAUGAUCCUUUCUUGUGGCUUUGUUCAGUUUUCUAUAGUCUAUGCACAUCCGCCAUCUUGUGACGGUGCGUUGCGGAAUUAGCUCGUUCUUUUCAUUCAUAAUGACAGUCAUGCCUCCCUUUUUAGGCACAACUUGUACUGGGCUUACCCACUCACUGUGCGGCACAGGAUAUAUAAUCCCUGUAUGCAGCAACUUUAUAACUUCCUUUUUAACUACCUCUCUCAUCGUGUUGUUAUGUCUACGUUGGGGCUCUCGAGAAGGUGAAACAGAAGGAUCUGUUGGGAUUCGAUGGGUACAAAUCAUAGGACUGAUUCCUGUAAGAUCUUGAAGUGAGUAGCCAAAAACUAAGUGAUGUUUCUCAAGAAUGGUCAUUAAUCGCAGAGUUUGCUCCUGAGUGAGUUUAUCACUAAUGAUCACAGGAAACUCUAGAUUAUUGUUUAGGAAAGCAUAGAUAAGACCGGGUGGUAAAGUUUUAAGCUCUAUGGGAGGUCUAGGUGCUUCUGCAAACUCAUCUAAGGGUUUAGGUUCAAAAGGUUUAGCUUCUUCUUCUGUGAAGAAAAGAGUUUCGUCUUCUAAGUCUGGUUCAUCUAAAAGCUCUGGAGAUGCAGCCUUUACCUCCUCCAUAGGAUCAGGCAAAAGAUAUGAUUCGGCCUUAUUGUUUAAGGAGUGUGAAAUCGUUAUGGGAAAUUUAAAAGUUUUUCCAAAAGAAAUGUGUAGCUUUCCAGUAUGACCUUCAUAAAGGAGUCUUCUAAAAGGUUGUCCUAUCAACAGGUCGAAGUCCCAUGUAUCAAAGAUAUAGAAGUUCAAAUGUACGAUGGAGCCUUCUACCGUAAGAGGUAGGACAUUAAUAAUUCCAAGACUGGGGACUAAUCGUCCCGAAGAUUCCACUAUGACCUUUGUUGUGGGGGUUAAGACAAGAUUUUUAAAUAAUUUAAGUGCAAAAGAUUCAGACAUGAUGUUGAUCCCCACAACAGGAUGAUAGAGAGCAUCAAAUCGAUCAGAAUCAUAAGCACAGUGUAUAGUUAUAGAGGGUGUAUCCAAAAGAAUCACAUCAGAGGAAAGCUCUGACUCCUCCAACCACUCGCUACUCAUGACUGAGAUAAGCUCUCUUAAUUGAUGUUCACUUGGUAAACAAAUGCUAAACUGACCGUUUUGGGGUUUGUUAGUAGAAUGGUAGUUUGAAAUGUUUCCAAAAUCGGCAAAAAGAUCAGAUUCUAUAUCCAGCAUGAAAUCAGGUGGUGGAAUUUCUUCCUUUUGUGGCUCAGAACUUGGGAUAGCUAAAGUAGAUGAAGAAUUUGGCAGAGUGUCUACUUCGGCUUCGUGGGUUUCAUCAUGAAGGGUAUUAUCCAUCUCAGCUUCUAGGAUUCUAUCUAGGAUCACUCUAGCAUCAUCAGUAGGGAUGCGAAAGAAAGAACCUCUAGACAUUGUAUGUAGCAUUUGUUUAUUAUCUUUCUGAAGACCUUGAAAAAAGUGAAAUAAAAGAACAGGGUCUUCUAGAUUAAGGUUUGGACCAGAUUCUAAAAGAUCAGAAAAACGUUUCCAGGAUUUUCCCAAAGUUUCAUUAUCUUUUUGUUUAAAAGAUAGGACUUCGAGUCGAAGGUCGCCGAUACGGUCGAGGGAAUAAAAAUCUAGACAAAAUUUGGCUCGUAAAACUCCCCAUUCACCUCGUUGUUGACUUACCUUCUGACUGUACCAUUGUCUAGCUUCUCCCCUUAAAGAAAAAGGAAAAAGCUUCCAACGUAAAGUUUUAUUAGAAAUGCCUUCAAUGCGAAGACAAUCACAUGUUUGCUCAAAAUCUCUAAUAUGAAGGUAAGGGUUUUCGUCUUCCUUUCCCGAAAAAGAUAGGUUUUGAAUCAUGGCAAUCAACCUAGAACUUAACCUAUACUGGGAUGUUUGGAUAGGCUGUGAUGACUCCCAUGGUAAAAGGUCAGUUACUAAAGGGACUGCAGAUUCAUGGAUCGAUUUAGAAUUUUGGUUUUCCAUAAGAUGAGAGUAAAGAGAAUAAAUAAAGAAUAUAAAGGAUAAGAAAAGGUAAAAGUAUAGAUACAAGCUAGUAGUAAGACUCAAGGUUAUCUCAGCAAACCGUCUUUCUCCCCGGCAACGGCACCAGAAAUGCUUGUUGAUAUUUGGGAACGCAAUAAUGAAUUGAUCCGCAAGCGCACGGAUAUCGGUGAGCACUUCACCCGGGAUGCUAUCCAGAGUAUCGUAUUUUUUUUACCACUAGGAGAAAGAGUGCAUCAGACUAACCCGGUCUAUUACUACUAACCUUUAGGCUACAAAGAAUGUUUCUCGAUGUGAGUGAUAUAUAGAGAAGACUACAACCGUAAUCUCUUUCUAACCUUGGUAAGGAUAAUCUAAUGUUCUAUUAGGGAAGCUUACGGAAUCUAGACACCACAGAGGAUGUUCAACCCGCACCUAUAAACCCUAUCUUUCCUGCUAACGAGAUAUGGUCUGCAAAGGUAACUCAGAAAUGUCACGUUCCUCGCUACUACCACGGUCUAGCUAGUCAGGGAAUAUCUAUGAGUAUCCUAGCCCAAACACCACAUCUACGCUAGAGAUGAUUACUCUAAACUCUACGCGAAGAGAUUAAAGUAAAAUCAUAAACCAAAGAACAAUAAAACAAGAACUUACUAGAAUUUAGAAGUCGAAAUACUGAAGAAUCCUAGGAGCAAGCCUCGGGUUAGAAGACUUGAUCCCGCAGGUACAACCUCAGAGUAGACACCGACAGGCCGGGCUUCCUCCGAUCUACACCUGCACUCUAUCUCCCUCGAUCUAGUAGAAACUAGAAGAUCUAUUUCUACUCACAUUGGAUGCUAAGCCUAAAAGAAAUUUUAUUUAGGGGAGAGGUAUUCCUUCGAGGGCUCCUCUCAACUCUAUGAUGAACUUGUCUCCUCCAGGGGUCAGGGGUUCUGGUUUUAUAGUCCCCUCAAGUGAACGUGAGCCAUUGGAUCAAACCGACAUUGAUUGGACAGUUAUCCUUGAUCCUUUCGGUCGGUGGAGCAUCGUCCGCGAAGAGAGUCCCGAUUGGAGUCCAGGAGGGGGCGGGCACCCUGGUCCUCAGGGCGGGCUCCCUGGGCCAGGCCCCUUUUGGCCUUCGCUUUGUUCCCGUGGCUUCUGGAGUCUUCUAGAUGGUAGAAAAUUGCGCGGUGCGUUGAUAUCUCUAUGUAAUCCCGACGUGUGGGCCUUUUUUCCUUAUUUCCUGAUAACCCCCUGCAGAAAUAGAUAAACAACAAAACUCGUGGAAUUCUGUCAGAUCAAACCCUAAUUCUAGGUGUUGUUUGCAUAUUGGUCCUUUCUCUUGUUUAUUUAACAAUUAAAAUUGAUACUUAAGAACCGUCAACAUGCAUCAUCAAGAUUUAAAAUAAAUAACCCAUUCACAAUGGAUGCAAGAGCCACACAUAUGUCAUUCUUAGAGAUCACACAACCAUUAUCUUUACUCGCAAAUGAAUAACCAUCCUUCAUCAAACAUGAAGGUGACACAAUGUUUCGACUUAAACUAGGAUCAAAAUAACAAUUAUUCAAUUCCAAACUAAAUCCUAAUGGUAGGUGGAGUUGCAUUGUUGCCCAUGUUUCUUAUCAUUCCCUGCAUCGUAUUGCAAAUAUGAGCAACCAAUGUGGUAUUAAAUACCAAGAAUUAAUAUAAGAGUUAGCGAGGUCAAUAUCUAUAACAUAAACAACAAGUGUAUGAGCAACAGGAGUACCUUUACUACCGCCAUCCUUAUUCAAGGAUGCCAAGGACAGCUUGCAGUUCCUCUUUCACUAACCUUUCCCUUAUAAUGAAAGCACUCAGCAUCAGUAGUUGGUCCAGCCUUGGGCAUUGGUGGGUUUGGCUUAUGGAUCUCAUCCUUAGCCUUACCCUUUUUCAUCUUCCAUGCAUUGUCGUUCUAUCUCUUAAAGUUAAGCUUGUUUUGGAUUGCCAACAUUUGGCUACUACCUUCACCUUUCUUGAUGUUAGCCUCUGCUAUUUUUGGCAUGCCGCACAAAUCAUUCAAGACCUUCUCCACCCCAUGCAUAUGGUAGUUUGAGAUGAAAUUUCCAUAAGUGGGUGAAACAGAUGAGAGAAUGAAAUCAGUAUCCAACUAGUUGCAGCCUAUUGGGAAGCCUAGCAUCUCUAACCUCUGAGUAUAACUAACCAUCUUGAUUACAUGUGGGCAAACUGUUGUGCCCUCUACUAGCUUGCAUUCAACAAAAGCCUUUGAGACUUGGAACCUUUCAGUCCUAGCCUUAGCUUGGAACAUAUCAUUAAGCACUGUAACACCCAAAAAUUUACAACUUUUGAAAUAGGUGAAAAAUGAUUUAAUUUUGUAUUUUUGUGCUCAUGAAAUAUAGGGAAAUAAUAUUUUUCAUUAAAAUAAAAUUUAUCAUUGGACUUAGCAACUUGUUCGCGCAUUCAUGUUUGUGCAUUCUUUAUAUUGUGUUGUGGGGUUUUGACUAAAAAUUCAAAACUAUUUGAUUUGGAUUUGAAAAUGGUUUCUAAGUAAAAAAAUUCUUUUAAACUCUCGAUUGAAGCAGCAGGCCCCUAGUUGCGGCCACUCGGCCCAGCCAAGCAGGCCACCGAGCCGCCCUCUUCUCACGUCUGUGUUUCCCCCACGAGUCGUCUCCAUGUAGGUCUCUCUGCUCGAUGGAAAAUCGCCAUCCAACACCAAUUUUAGUGGAAUUCGACGUAAUCUCCACACUCGCACGCCUUAUAUAAAGAAGAGGAACCUGAUGGCGCUCUUUUUCCCAUAUGCGUGCUGCCACCGUUUUUGCCCUAACUUGGUCUCACCGAGCUCAGACCUGCAACCACCGCAACCGUGCCUAUCAUCUGCUGCGUCGCUGCCCAUCUCCAAGCGGCUGAUGAGCUUCACGUCAAGGAAAGGCCCCAUUGCCGCUCCGUCAAGCUGUACGCGAUCAAUCUGCUAAAACUUAGUGUGCUUGUCGUUGUCUUGAAAGGCAUGCAUGAUCAUCUAGGGUUCCAUUGCUGUAAUUAGUUGCUUUAUAAAAAUGUGUUUCUAAAUUCUAUGUUUGUUUAGUUUAAACACACAUAUCAAAUUUGAAUAUAUGCUCUCACAUAUUUAUUCCUUUUUCAAAGUCAAGUUUAAAUAACAAAUAUUAUGAGAUGUGCUUGCAAAUAAAAUAUGACUAGUAGCUUUAACUCUAUUUUUUAGCUAAGAUAUACAUUGUCUAAAUUAAUAUCCAUCACAUGGUUUUAUAAAUAAAAUAAACCGAGCUUAUAGCCUUUGUUUCUAUGAUGAAGUAAAUCUUCGCUAGUCGUUUCUUAUUCACCGUAUCUGUGAUUAGUGUGUUUUUCGUGUCUGCGUGAUGGUAGCUGCACGUAUAUUUGUUUUUAAACCUUUUUAUUGAUUGGUGUAUUAUUCUAAAUUUAUUAUGUUUGCUAUGCAUGUUUGUUUGGAUGCUUGUGUGGUAUAGAUCCUGUCUAAUCGGCGAGUUUUAUGUGGUGAUCAAGAAGGACCGGAGUGGGUAAUAGUGAGUAAGCAAUUCAUUUAAGAUUUGGACUAGCAGAGUCAGCAAGGGUAGUAUGAAAGCUUUUAUCAAGGCAAGUAUAGCAUUUGGAUUUUAAUUCUGUGACCAUGAUCUUGUGACUUGAUUAAUGUUUAAGCAACAAAUAAUAUAGAUGACUUCUUAGCAUCUUCAAGAUUUAUCUAUAAGUGAUAACUGGGAUUGAAGUGCAACCAUGAAGGCUAUAAUGGCUCUAGAUUUAGUCAAGUAUGAGUAACGUUUCUAGCACGUUAGCGGUUACCCGUGUGGUGCAAUUGGGGGAUAGCAGACCAUGGAUCCCUGCAUGGUAGAAUCACACGGACUGACUAAUGAAACCAAGCGGCCCUAACCUAUUAGAAGAACCUUUGAAAGACUUCAUAGUGAUCUCUGCCGACCUCCCUAGGAAGGGGGUUAAGAGAUUAGCUACCUCGGGCGAAAGGGUAAAUCAUGACUCAUGGGUAAAGAUAUACGACCUCUGCAAAGUGUUUAUUAAACUGGUAUACUAGCCGUGCUCACAGUCACGAGCGGCCUUCGAGAUUCUUGCAUUAACGGUGAUGAUUCUUGUUGUCUUAAUAUGCUUAUAUUUAUUGUUUAAUGCUCUACAUUAUUCUAUCACAUUGAUCAUGAGAUUGUGGGAUCAAAACAAUCUAGUUGCUAUACUGGUGGAGUUCGACACAGACUCACUCUUGCUAUUUCCCUCACACCUCAGGUGGAGUAUUAGGCUUAUGAUCAACCAGUCAUUUGGAUCCUGUAGAGUGGAGUUAAUACCCGAAGUUGGAGUUAUCUUCCGUUAUAUGCUACCUAAGGUUAUUCUGAUUUAAUAUGUACGUUAUAUAAUUGGUGCAUUGUCUUUUGAUAUUACCCUUUAUUUAUAGCUAUAUGUGAGAUUUGACUUCUAAAACUCAUGUAUGGUGCUUAAAAUUGGGUAUUACAAGCACUAUGCUUAUAUCAUACGCUGCACGAUUAUUUUUGAACUGCAUCUGCAGCUCUUGUUCCAUACAAGCAAGCACAAGGCAACUCACUCCAAGAUCAGCAUCGCAUGCUCUCCUGUAAGCGUUCUUCUCUAUAGUAGAUGUAUUAUCAGCAGGUGCUUCUAGAAAUGGGAUGUCUAGAAUCUCUCCCUUUCUCUCUACCCUAAGAACAAUUCUCAGAUUGUGGAUCCAAUCCACAUAGUUUGUAAAGUAAAUUUUUCUCAAGAAUUGAGUGUAAAGUAAAUGUCUAGAAUCUCUUCCAUUCAACUUAUCUUUCUCAAGAAUUGAGCAUAAAGUAAAUGUUUGAUUGGUAGGCACCAUUAAUCUACAACAAAAGUAAUGCAAAAUACGAAACAAAGUAUCCAAGUGUUGAUAUUAGUUACGCACAAGAAAGAAUCAAAGACAAAUAUUCCAGAAGCGCAUGGAUAUAAGUCUAGAGUAUCGUAUUUAUUUUUUUACCACUAGGAGAAAGUGUUGAUAUUUGGGAACGCAAUAAGGAAUUGAUCCGCAAGCGCAUGGAUAUCGGUGAGCACUUCACCCGGGAGGUAAUCCAGAGUAUCGUAUUUAUUUUUUUACCACUAGGAGAAAGAGUGCAUCUGACUAACCGGUCUAUUACUACUAACCUUUAGGCACAAAGAAUGUCUUUCGAUGUGAGUGAUAAAUAGAGAAGACUGCAACCGUAGUCUCCUUCUAACCUUGGUAAGGAUGAUCUACUGUUCUAAUGGGGAGGCUAACGGAAUCUAGACACCACAAAGGAUGUUCAACCCGCACCUAUAAACCCUAUCCUUCCUGCUAAUGAGAUGUGAUCUGCAAAGGUAACUCGGAGUUGUCACGUUCCUCACUACUACCACGGUCCAGCUAGUCAGGGAAUAUCUAUGAGUACCCCAGCCUAAACACCACGUUUACGCCAGCAAUGAUUACUCUAAACUCUACGCGAAGAGAUUAAAGUAAACUCAUAAACCAUAAGAACAAUAAAACAAGAACUUACUAGAAUUUAGAAGUCAAAUUACUGAAGAAUCCUAGGAGCAAGCUUCGGGUUAGGAGAACUUGGUCCCGCAGGUACAAGCUUGGAGUAGACACCGACAGGCCGGGCUUUCUCCAAUCUACACCUCCACUCUAUCUCUCUCAAUCUAGUAGAAACUAGAAGAUCUAUUUCUACCUUACAUUGAUUGCUAAGCCUAAAAAGAAAUAUUAAUUAGAGAAGAGGUUUUCCUUCGAGGGCACCCCUCAGUCUCUAUGAUAAUUUCUUCAUGUCUUCUCCAAGGGCCAGGGGGGUCUCCUUAUAUAGUCCUCCCCUUCUAUGCGUUUUUGGGUCGAUAGGCGAGGUGGUACUAUGUUUUUCUUGAUCCAAUGGUCGGUGGAAUAUCCCGAGCGAACAGAGUCAUGAUUGGCAUCCAGAGGGGGGCGGGCGCCCAGGUCACCAGGGCGGGCGCCCUGGGCCUGGCCCCUUUCGGCCUCCGUCUUCUUCCCGUGGCUUCUGGAGUCUUCUAGAUGGUAGAAAAUUGCGCGGUGCGUUGAUAUCUCUAUGUAAUCCUGACAUGUGGGCCUUUCUUCCUUAUUUCCUGAUAACCCCCUAUAGAAAUAGAUAAACAACAAAACUCGUGGAAUUCUGUCAGAUCAAACCCUAAUUCUAGGUGUUGUUUGCAUAUUGGUCCUUUCUCUUGUUUAUUUGAUAAUUAAAAUUGAUACUUAAGAACCGUCAACAAAUACCCCCAUACUUAGGCUUUUACUCGUCCUCGAGAAAAGGAUGGUUAAGAAUAAUAUCUGGGGUAAACAUUUAAAACAUUCUCUUAGGUAUACUUACUUUCGAGAAAAGGAUGGUUAAGAAUAAUAUCUGGGGUAAACAUUUAAAACAUUCUCUUAGGUCCUUUCUCCUGUCACUUGGAGUUUUUGUAUAUUUUUGAAAGAAAGUUAGCAUACCUUUUGAUCCUCAUAGGUUCUCUUAGAUCACUCAUUAUCUUUUAUAUAUAUCUCACUGAGGCUGUAUUUUUGCAAAAAUUCUCAAGCAUACUUACUUUGCAUUUAUUGCUUGAUCAAAACGGGAUCCGAGGAGGGAAAUGUCAUACUCUUAGAUCAAAGACUUUGGAAAUUAAAAUCUUUGUCAACUCUUGCUGGCAUAUUGCUUAUUAGAGGGACCAUGGGCUAUCAUAUUUUUUUCUCUUUUCUCUCUCUCUUUUUUAAGUGGAUACCGAGGUACCCCUAAUUCUACUGCCGGACACUUGUCCAUUUUUUUCUGUGAGGUUGUCGAGCACUUGCUCCUUUUUAUUUCCUCGAAAUAUUUUUAUUUUUGCAUAGCCCAUGCCUCUAACGCAAUAAUACUUCGGAAGAGUGAAUCUUUCUGAAAUAAUGUUUUGAUCUUAGGAGCAUGAUAAAUCUCUCAACAAGGGUCUAACUCAUUUUGAACAAACUCAAUACAGAGUAGAUAGCUUUUAUAAUCAUAAUCAAUAUUUUCAGUUUUAUCUGGCAUAUAAAACACUUUGGAUGGUAGCUAGAAUUUUGAAUAUUUUGAAAUAAAUUCUCCAAGUAACAAUGAUAUCAAGAAUAAGAAACUCAUACUCUAUAUUCCAUAUUGACUUAAGUGACACAGGGUUUUAAAAUGAUUUUCAAUAAUUGCAAGUUUUUCAGGAAAUAUCACAGAUUGAGAUUAAUCAUGAUUAGAAAUAUUUUAAUCUUUUUAUUUUAUCAUAUCGGAAACAAUAAUCUGCAUAAUCCAAAAUAUAUGUAUGUGUAAAGUAAAGUGUGCAGAGUGUGUACCUGAAUCGUGGAGUGGUGUAGUCGGAGUGUGGUUGGCAUGUUGAGGGAUCUCCCCCAUACUUGUUUUCUGCUUUCUUGCACAAAAAUAAAGUAGAGACACACAAGACAUAAUAAUAAUAAUAGUAAUACUCUUUAUUAAUCUUGAGGCAUUUAUUACAAAAGACUAGUAGCAAACUGAUAACAAACUGAUGAUAAUAGCAAACUGAUGAUAACUGCAAACCUAAACCGAAUUUAAAGAUAGAUAACUAAGAUGCAUUGCCUCAAGGUCUAAUCUAGAUAACUUAGCGGCGCUCUAAUUCCUUGAUCUUCUUGUUGGCACUGGCAAGAUCCUGCCUAAGGCCUAGUAUAAUGGUGUUGUGGUUAGAGAGCUGCCUAGUGAGGUAAUUAAUCGAGCACUGGAGAUCUAUGAUAACUCUGUCUAGCCUGCGAACGUCCUCAUCAAUAUCGACUAUAGUCUUGCGACGCUUGGGAGGUGUCUCAAAAGCAUUGAGAGCGUGCUUCGGGGCUGCCUUUGGAGGGAUGAAAUAGACUUUGGCUGCUCUAAUCCCUUCGAAGUAAGGCCUUUCCUCCUCCGUAGUGUAGCGUACGCUGCUGAUCUCGUCGCUCCGGUUGGUCUUGACUCCAACGACCCUCUCAUUGGGUCUAGGUGGAAGGAUCCUUGUGCCGAUUGGCACCUUGAUAGUGGUCUUCGUCUUGGAUGAUGACCCUUUGAGGAGUAGGGGUUGUGGUGGUGCGGUGAGAACUGGUUGAGCAUGGUAAGAUUGGGUGGAGCUGCGUUGGCGUAAUGGCAUGGCUUCUAGCUGUCGCUCUGUGUUGGCCGGGACGAGAGCACGGGCAUCGGGGUCUUCCAUAGGCUCCAUGUUGAGGUUGAAGGGGACGACUUCCCAAUCAUCGUGGUACUUCUCAGCCAUUUGAGCAGCAAGGAACUAAUCAAACUCUAAUUGAAGGAGAGCUAAUCAAGCUCUAAUUGAAGGAGAGAAGGCUUGGUGGCUUGGUGUUUGAAAACUGAGGUCAGGGCUCUGUUUAUAUAGGGGUCAAAAGGGUGCCUCUAUGGGUUGUUCGGGUUGCUCCCGUCGACUUGCGUGGGAAACUUUCCAUCCGAGGGAUUAUUCGAAUUACCAAAAGUGCAUUUUCCAUAACUGAGAAAGUCGGGACCGAGGGGGGACAGGGGCAGGGCGCCCGCCCACUUGAUCUGGGCGCCCGCCCUCUCUCUGGCCCCACUGUGGGCCCACUUCUCCGAGCGCGUUUCUAGAUGAGAAAUUAUUUAAAAUAUAUAUAUAUGACCCAAAAACAUCAGACCAAAAGUGUCGAGCUCUAAUUCUCCAUGGGAAGGUAAAAAUGGACUACGUCUAUAUCUUCUAAUUCCUCAUUGGGCUCUAAAAAUAAUUUAAGACGUUGACCAUUUACCUUGAAUAACGUACCUUCGUCAUUUUGAAGUGUGAUAGCUCCAUGGGAUGAUGAAUUAAUUACCUUAAAUGGUCCUUCCCAUUUGCUCUGGAGUUUUCCAUGCCCGAAAAGCUUCACCCUGGAAUUAAAAAGUAAUACCUUAUCUCCGGGUGUGAACUCCUUCUUCUUGAUUCUCUUGUCAUGCCACCUCUUGACUCUUUCUUUGUAGAUCUUUGAAUUGUGAUAUGCUUUCUCUCGCCAUUCUUCCAAUUCUGAUAGUUGCAUUUUUCUAUAAUCUCCAGCAACAUCUAGGUCCAUAUUCCAUCUCUUUAUGGCCCAGUGUGCUUUGAACUCUAGCUCAACAGGUAGAUGGGAAGUCUUUCCGUACACCAAUUGGUAUGGAGACAUUCCAAUUGGGGUCUUGUAUGCUGUCUGGUAUGCCCAGAGUGCAUCGGGUAACUUGUCUUUCCACGCCGUUCCCAUUUCAUUUACUGUCUUCUGAUGAAUAUUCUUGAUUUGUUUGUUGGAAGUCUCUGCUUGGCCACUUGUCUGAGGAUGAUAGGGGGUAGCGACGUUGUGACGGAUUCCAUGUCUGAUGAUAUGUACAUGUCGUUCCGCCUGUACUCCUUACCCUGCCAUUGCCCUCAAACCUUCCAUUUUCGCCUCCUUCAAUCACCUGCAUCUUCGCAACCCAAAUCCACUUCUCACCUCCAAUGGCGAAGAGCAACGCCAAGAAGAGGGCUGAACUGAUGGCCAAGGAGUGGAAAAAGUCCCGCAGCACCACCAAAUCCCUCGGUGACCUGGUCGACAUGGGACUCCUGCACAGCUCGGAGCUCGGCGGCUGGAGAGCACCGGAAGGAGAAAGCUUCCCCGACCCUCGUGCCGGUGAGAUCGUCGUGUUUGAAGAUUUCGUUAAGAGGGGCUUUGGGGUUCCGGUUCAUCCUUUUCUCCAAGGUCUUCUUCUGUAUUAUGAGAUCGGGAUUUGCAAUCUGCACCCGAACUCAAUUCUCCUUAUUUCCACGUUUAUUCAUCUGUGCGAGGCCUAUGUUGGCAUAGAGCCGCACUUCGAUCUUUUUCGUUACCUUUUCUGCUUGAGGAAGAAGGGAGCAGUUGGAGGCUCCAAGGUUGCAGGUGGAGUGUACCUCAACCUUCGUGAUGGAAUGAAGAAUCACUACCUGCACUGUCCAUGGAACACUUCCUUGACCGAAUGGUAUAGGAAGUGGUUCUACGUCAGGGAGGAACCGGGCAGCUCCACGUUCUGCGACGUGGGGUACAUUCCCGAGAAGAGGGUAAGCUGGACCGACCGCCCGGAGUUCGACGGUCAAGUGGCGGAUCUGAUGAAGCUGAUCGACUGGUCGCGCCUGGAUGGGCUUGGCGUGGUCGGCAACUUCAUUUGUCGUCGGGUGAUGCCCUGCCAGAAGGGGGUGCACUCGGCGUACGAGUAUUCCGGAAGCGUGGACCCGACCAGGAUGCGACCGGAGAUCUUGGAGAAGGCAGAGGUACUGUUGACGGUGGAUAUACCAUAGAAAUCCACAUACAAAACACCGUCAACAUGCCUCGGUUGCAAGGGGAAAUGACAUGACAUGAACAUAUUUCAUCCAUAACUAGUUCCACUUGUACUCUUAGCUUGUUUAUGCAGGAACAACAAAUUCAAGACAUUAUUUGACAAAGCCAACAUCAGAAUCAUCAAGAGGAGAUCGAGGGGACAACAGGUGAUACCCUGGGCCCACAGGGAGGGGGUCGCCCGACCCCUCUUUGGUGGGACCCAGGUGUGCCACCUAGUCCACCGACAUAAGGGACCCCUGUGGACACUGCUGGUGGGCCCAGAGGCCCAGAAGUGGGGUCGCCCGACCCCACAUCAAAGGCGGUUCCAGGGUCGGUGGCCUCCCACCGACCUUCCCCACAUGUCCCACAUGUUGAUUUGCCCCUGCCGUUGAUCAAAUGGCGGUUGUGGGGUCGGUUUGGUCCAAGGGUGGAGAGAAGAUGUCACGCGGAUCGAUGACGUGGCGAUGGAGUAACCCCUACUCCAUCUCCCUCUAUAAAAGGCAGCCUCCAUCCUUCAUUUCAAGUGUGCAAUUCCAAGGCCAAGUGCAUUACAAGUUCCAAGCAUACAAGUAGAGUAGUAGUUAGUCUAGAGUGGGAGUUAGAGUCGAGUCGAGCGAAGCUCGGGGUCUCCGGAGUCGUCUUCUGGAGAGUCUGGUAUAGCUCUUGUACCUUUCUACUUUUGUAAGACUUUCCCUUUUAUUAAUAUAUUAUUCUUACUUUACUUUACUGAGUUCUUACUUAGUGCAAGUCUUUUAGUCUUGUUGUGCAUUUACUUUAGUAAUAUAGUUGUCUUAGUGAAGUUAGUGACCUGUAACCACUCCUGUGUGUGCAUCAUCGUCCUAUCUUGUAUAGGAGCUCUAGCUAGCUGCAACUAGUUAGAGUUGUAGGAUUAAGUGUGAGCGUGGUGCUCAUACUUAAGAUUACCUCUGAUUACCGCUGGCUUGAACGGAAAGUAGGAGCGCACUCCCUAGUAGGUGACAGAUCGUGGGCGGCAUUAGGUUCUCCUCACGUACAGGCUAGUUCUUAAAAGGUAAGGCGUCCAUAAGCCCAAUAGUCGCUUUCGGUAAGGGGUUAGGUGAAAAACCUUCUAAGUGUCUUACCAGCUCGGCUAUCCCUCGCACACAGUUAGUAAGGCUCUAGCGUAGUUAAGGCAAUUAUCUAUUAAAGUAAGUCACAGAAGUCAAGUUAGAUACAUAGGAGUCCUUUACUCACUCGUUGUCCUCCCACCUAGCUAACUCUACCAUUUACCUUUAGCAUAGGACCUUGGAUUCACCACUACCCUUCCUAUUCGUCAUUUACCACCCUUAUUCACUAGUUGAUACUAGACAACUCAAGGAAUCUCAUUCCCCUUUUUGUUAAACACACUUAGCCGCUUUCCCUUGGGAAAAUAUAAAUUACGAUACCUUGGAAUACUCCUUGGUGAAGUGCUACAGUGGUACAUUCUGUGCGCUUGCGGAAUUAUCCAAUAGUAAAUAGAGUUACCCUACCAGGGCACUUCUGGCGCCGUCGCCGAUAUCCGGUGGUUGCGUUAAGAAGUGUCAACAAGCAUUUCUGGCGCCGUUGCCGGGGAAAGCGUCUGUCUAAGAGUUUUAACAAAAAGAGAAUCCAGAGUUUGCUAGUUAUCAAGUAGUGAUAGGGAUAACCCAUCACUUGUCUUGUCUUCCUUUAUUGUGAAGCCUGACAGUGUAUGAGCGGUUUCCAAUUGCCGUCAAACUUCGUUGAAGAUCCUGAGCAACUGUUGAGGAGAACUAGACGUCGUCAAGUUCCACCUCAAAGGUUCAUCUCGAACCUGAAUCCGUUAGAGGAAGGAGUAUCUGCACCGGUUAUCAAAGAAGCUAUGGCCCAGAAGACCAUCUCUGAGUACUCUGCGCCGUCGGCUGACAAUGUCGCCACGGGUCCGCAGCUUAACUUGGGGGAUGCGACUUUUGAGUUGAAGCCUGCGCUUAUCAAUAUGGUGCAAGCCAAUCCCUUCUGUGGAAAGUCACACGAGGAUGCCAAUGCCCAUCUCCAACACUUCUUGGAGGUGUGCGGCACCUUCACCAUCAAGAAUGUCGCCGCAGACGCCAUCCGUCUUUGCCUCUUCCCAUUCUCGUUAUUGGGGAAGGCGAAGCAAUGGUUCUACGCCAACAAGGGUGAAGUGACCACGUGGGAGAGGUGCGCCAAUGCAUUUCUCAAGAAGUUCUUUCCGAUGGGCAAGACCAGCGCCCUUCGUGGAAAGAUUUCCAGCUUCCAACAGCAAGCGGAUGAGACGAUUCCCAAAGCAUGGGAACGUCUGCAGGAGUACAUUCGCGCCUGUCCUCAUCAUGGGAUAGAGGAGUGGCUCCUAAUCCAAGGUUUCUACCAUGGCCUGACCGGUUUGGCCCGUAGUCACCUUGAUGCUGCCGCUGGAGGAGCAUUCUUGCAACACAAUGUCAAGGAUGCCAAGGACCUCAUUGAAAAGAUGGUUAUAAACCAAGGAUGGAAUGAGGAACGCCUCCAACCCAAGAGAAGAGGUGUCCAUGCCUUGAAUGAGGUGGACAUGCUCUCUGCUAAGAUGGACCUCUUAAUGAAGAAGAUGGAAGAAAGUUCCAAGCAAGAGGCCAUUCAACCUUACGCCACUACACGGGCCAUUGAAUCUGAUUCAUGGUGCGAAGUGUGCGGAGGAGAUGAUCAUUCGGGAAACAAUUGUCCCGAAACAAAGGAGGAAGUGAGCUUCAUCAACAACAACAACAAUGGGUACCGGCCCCAACAACAGCAAUGGAACUCGCGCCCCUUCUACCAAGGUAAUCAAGGUAAUGGUUACAAUCAAAAUUUCAAUAAUUCUUUUGGUAACCAACCUUCUCUUAGAGAUCUUGUCUUAGGCCAAUCUAAAAUCAAUGAUAGCAUUAACAAGAAAAUGAUGGCUAAUGAUAAGAUCCUUGAAAACUUAAGUGAAAAGUUGGAUAGCUUUAACUCUGCUAUGAAAAAUCAGUUGAGCUUUAACAAAAUGCUAGAAACACAAUUAGCUCAAUUAGCAGCAGCUAUCCCAUCCUUCGAGCAAGGUAAGAUCCCAGGGAAACCUGAGGACCCAAUUGAAGGAGUUAAACUAGUUACUACGAGGUUCGGUAAGCCUCCGGUACAAUCCAACUGGAGCUAUCUUCUGGAUUCGCCCUUCAUCACCAAGAAGGACGACCCAGGCCUGCCGACCAUCACCUGUGAGAUCGGACCGCAAAUCUUCCACAACGCCUUCUGCGACCUUGGAUCGGGUGUCAACAUCAUGGCCAAGGUAACUUAUGAUAAUUUGCUAGGAGGGCCUUUGCACCCCACAUUUGUUCGUUUGCAGAUGGCAGAUCAGACGAUCAGGUUCCCUGAGGGGUUGGCAAGGGACAUACUGGUAAAAGUUCAAGACGACUACGUCCCUGCCGACUUCAUCAUUCUAGAUAUGGGAUCCAAUAAUGAUGUCUCGAUCAUCUUGGGAAGGCCAUUCCUCAACACGGUCAAUGCAGUCAUCUAUGUGGGGUCCGGCCAGAUUCACCUCCAAUUCCCAGGAUGGAAGGUAAAAUGUCCAUUCAAUGGUUAUAAAGCUAACAUGUAGGUGAAGGACAAAGAACCUCCGACUAAGCCUCGCCACAUCCGACGCCGAAGGGACAAGAGAGGUAAGUCGGCCAAAAGGGCCGAAAAGAAAGAAGAGGAACCCGCUGAACCAAAAAUCAAUACCAAGCAAGUAUGGCGGGAGAAAGAGGUGCAAUCAAGGUCCACGUCUCCGGGACCAUCUGAUGCACCCGAAGAAUGAACAAGAUGGAGAGGUCCUGCUCUACGGACCUAAAACAUGGAGCCCUUGCUGAUAAGGUAAAUCAGUAGUUAUCCCAUAUUUAUUUUCUGCAUUUCAAUUUCUACUAUUCACUUUUCAAUUGCAUUCUUACUUUGAAUUUUGCAUAUCUUAUUUCGACAAAAUGUUUAGCCAUAAUAAAUAAAAUCUUGAGAAUAACUUGUCAUAAAAAUUUGAGCUGCUGGAGCUCCCAACGGGGGGUCGCCCGACCCCACCUUGGGGCCCACUUCACCAUAUUUCAACCUUGCUAGUCAUAGAGGUUCCAACCCAGCACUUGGAUGCUCUGGGAGCUCCAAUGUGGGGGUCGGCCGACCCCCAUAUUGGCCCCACUUGCCUCCUGCUGGCCACCAUUUGAAUCACAAUGGAGUCCUAUGCUUGUAACACUAGCUAAAGUUUGAAAAAGAGUGGUCCCUUGAUCCUUUACUUUAGUCAUAAGAUGCUCCUUUCAUCUUUGAUUCUUUUGGGACCACUCCACUAGCUUAAAUUCUACAAAGUGGUCACCUAGGCAUGCUUGAGUGCUCCCAUGGUCCAUAGGAAUCACUUUAGACAUGUCUCCACUUUUGCCAUUCAUCUUUUACCUUUCACAAAGCACUAAAACAGGGAAUCUCAGAAACAAUUUGAAAACUUUUGGUCCACACCUAGCCUUUACUUUUCUGGACAAUCAAUGACACAAUGUUUAAAGUGGAGGAGGGGCUAGGAUGGGGGUCGGCCGACCCCCAUUUUUGGACCAUCUCUGCAAAAUCUUGAAAGCAUGCAGAAUGGUUCCCUGUAUAAAGCUAAAUUCAAAUUCAAAGUGCUUCUAGGGGGGGUCGGCCGACCCCUAUAUUGUGGGUCCACUACUUGCCCUUCUCCCCCUAUAAAUACCACAGCAUUGUGAGCUCAACUCCACACCCAAAACCACCAGAACCAUUUCGAGCUCACAAUCCUUUCUCUUCUCUCUUUGUUACAAGCCAUUUCUCAAGUUUAGUUUAGAAAUAGUCAUCAAAACAAAAACCCAAAAAGAUUCCCCUUGCAUAGUAGUAGUAGUAGGAGCUUGGUUUGCCUCACUUGUGUAGGAGGAUGAAGAAGCAUAUCUUCGGCAAGUUCAAGAAAGCAAAGGGUGAGAGCUCUUCUCAAGGCUCUCACCAUGCUCAUGGAAGGGAGGAAGAAGAAGGUUACCAUGGGAUGGUACCCUACGAGCCUCCAUCAAGGAUGAGAGAGCCCGAGAGCGGCCUCAUGUUAAGCCAAGAAGAGUUGCAAAGGUACUACAUCAUCCGAGAGAGUCUCUUCCUACACACUAGCAUCAUCGAUCCGGACCUUUUGGCCCGCACAGGUAUGGAUGUUGAAUUCGAUAAGGUGUUUAGAGCAAUUGGUUGGAGUAGUUUUUGGCAAGUGCCUGAAUUUGGAAAAGAAUUGCUUGCUAAGGAAUUUCUAUGCACCCUAAAACUCACAAAUAAUGGAAUAUCUCUUCGCGUGUGUGAGCAAGAACAUCAAUUAAAUUGGAGUUUGCUAAACACUGCUUUAGGGUGUGAACAUGAAUGUGAACUUGAUCUAGAUCAUGCCACUAGAAUGUUCGAUAAAUUUAGAUUCUGGAAAGCAAUUUUUGGCUCUAAUGAUUGUUCAAAUCCUACUCCCAUUGAAAUCCAUAAUCCAACCUUGCGCUUUCUUCACUUCUGGAUCAUGUGCACUUUAUAUCCUGGCAUGGGAACUGAUACUUUAAUUGAUGAUGAACUUAAAAUUCUCUAUGCCAUGGUUAGUAAAAUCAAGGUCUCCCCUGUGAAACUGCUAGUGAACUAUUGGCUUAACUCUAUUGAGUAUGGGAAGCCCAUCUAUUUCACAUCCUUUAUUACUCGAAUAGCCGAUACUUUUGGAUUACUUGAAUCACAUUAUUUUGAAGACAUUGGCUAUGUUAGAGGAGUGGUAGAUGAGAACUUCUUUAUCAAUGCUAACAUGCUCAUAAGAGAUCAAAAUGGUGAACUUAAAAUGAUUUAUCCGGGCUAUACAACCGAAAUUCCUCUCCCAUGUGCGAGGCGCCGGUUGUAUGGGGUCCGCACACUUACCAUUAGACUAGCCCGAGUGGCAAGUCCAGAUGUUGCAGGGACACGCAGGGUGACAAGAAGGAUGAUGCAAGCCGCCCAGAUGGAGCAAGGAGGAUCCUCGCACCAUGACGUUGAAGAGGGCGAUGAAGCGAUGUCAGUAGAUGCUUCAGACUCCAUGGGUCUACCUCCACAACGCACUCCACGCCCAAGGGGCAGGGCUAGGCGUCACCAGCCCACAGGUAUGGACAGUCUCAUUAAUGACAUGGGCGAAUUGCAGAUUGGGCAAGAAGCAACAUUGCAACUGGCGUUACAAAACGGCCAACAUAUCCGACGUGUGCGAGAGGAAGACGCACAACGCUGGGCUGGAUGGUACCAGAAUUUCCCGGCACCACAGUGAGCGAAGAUCUAGCUUGGGGGAGAUCCUCUCCCCCACUAAGGUAAGUAUUCUAUCCUAUUUAUUUUCAUGCAUUUUAUCAUUCUUGCUUAAAAAAUAAAUAUUUAUUAGCAUUUCCCUUUAGCAUAUAUGCUUCAUGUAUGUUUAUAUCCCUCAUGGAAAUGAUGACUAGUUGCUUGUUAAUGUUUCUCUAGUGCCUAGUAUACAACUUAGUAUUUCUCUAAGUAUGGAUCACUUAGCUCACUUAAACUGCCAUGAACCUAAAAAGUUUGUGGGUUGCAAGUGCUAGAACUAAGUCUAAGUUGUUGUGGGACAUGAGAUAGUAAGACAAGAGCCACUAUAAUAUUUUUCUAAGCAUGCAUGAUUAUCAGAGAUUUAUUCUUAAAAUGAUCAAAACCUUAAUUGUUCCUCAAUGGUGAUGAAUUCCUACCACAGCCAUAUCUACUUUACAUAAUUGCAAUCUUUCCACAUAAGCUAUUUGCUUUGUGUUGAGUGUCGUCAAGUCUUGUUGACCCUUGUUAAGAGACUUUUUCAUGCUCCUAAGAUCAAGAUCACGUACACACCACAUAUAUACAUGCUACUUCUACACUGGAAGUACGCAACCACAUGUAUUUCGCAUCCACUAAAUAGGUUGCUCCGUACUCUAAAUGUUAGAACAUCUCUCUAAGCAUUAUUUGGUAAAUGAGACAUCAAAAGGCUUGGCAAAAUAAAAGAAAAAUAAAAAGAUGGACAUGUGCAAGUCCACAGAAAAAGAAAAUUGAGCACAUGAAAGCUCAUAUAAAAAAAAAUGCUAGCCAUGUCUCAAUACAUAGAGAGUCUAUCAAAUAAAGGAGCAACCUAGUCCACCAUAUAUCACACUUGCACAUCUUGAUCUGGGAGUAUGACACUUCUUUUCGAGGAUCCGAGCUUUGACUUCGCAAUACAUGCAAAGUAAGUAUGCUAUCUCCUUUCAUCCCUACCUUGAACUCCACAUAAGCCUUUUAGAAAUAGGAUGAAAUAGAGAAGGCAACUCUUACCAUAUGCCUUGGUGAGGAAUCAUACACCAUUUGAGUGACAUGAGAGAACCAUAAGAGGAACAUUUAAGCUUUCUUUUGAAAAUAUCACAAAACCUCUGAUAUGAAACUUGCUAAGAAUGAGAAAGUUAGUGCUCAAGUCAAACUGUUCUGUCUCUCAACCACCUAAGACAAAGGAAAAGCCAUAAGCCCCAUAAGGGACUAAGGUAAUAGGGGUAAGUUUACAUAGCUAAAUUUUUCAUGCAAAGAGAAGAACUUUGUUGUACACAUGGUACUCUUGAAAUGUGAACAUAGUAACAAUACCUGAUCCACCGAGGCUAAGUUUGAUUGUUUGCUCGGGACGAGCAAAGGUUAAGCUUGGGGGAUCUUGUUGACGGUGGAUAUACCAUAGAAAUCCACAUACAAAACACCGUCAACAUGCCUCGGUUGCAAGGGGAAAUGACAUGACAUGAACAUAUUUCAUCCAUAACUAGUUCCACUUGUACUCUUAGCUUGUUUAUGCAGGAACAACAAAUUCAAGACAUUAUUUGACAAAGCCAACAUCAGAAUCAUCAAGAGGAGAUCGAGGGGACAACAGGUGACACCCUGGGCCCACAGGGAGGUGGUCGCCCGACCCCUCUUUGGUGGGACCCAGGUGUGCCACCUAGUCCACCGACAUAAGGGACCCCUGUGGACACUGCUGGUGGGCCCAGAGGCCCAGAAGUGGGGUCGCCCGACCCCACAUCAAAGGCGGUUCCAGGGUCGGUGGCCUCCCACCGACCUUCCCCACAUGUCCCACAUGUUGAUUUGCCCCUGCCGUUGAUCAAAUGGCGGUUGUGAGGUCGGUUUGGUCCAAGGGUGGAGAGAAGAUGUCACGCGGAUCGAUGACAUGGCGAUGGAGUAACCCCUACUCCAUCUCCCUCUAUAAAAGGCAGCCUCCAUCCUUCAUUUCAAGUGUGCAAUUCCAAGGCCAAGUGCAUUACAAGUUCCAAGCAUACAAGUAGAGUAGUAGUUAGUCUAGAGUGGGAGUUAGAGUCGAGUCGAGCGAAGCUCGGGGUCUCCGGAGUCGUCUUCUGGAGAGUCUGGUAUAGCUCUUGUACCUUUCUACUUUUGUAAGACUUUCCCUUUUAUUAAUAUAUUAUUCUUACUUUACUUUACUGAGUUCUUACUUAGUGCAAGUCUUUUAGUCUUGUUGUGCAUUUACUUUAGUAAUAUAGUUGUCUUAGUGAAGUUAGUGACCUGUAACCACUCCUGUGUGUGCAUCAUCGUCCUAUCUUGUAUAGGAGCUCUAGCUAGCUGCAACUAGUUAGAGUUGUAGGAUUAAGUGUGAGCGUGGUGCUCAUACUUAAGAUUACCUUUGAUUACCGCUGGCUUGAACGGAAAGUAGGAGCGCACUCCCUAGUAGGUGACAGAUCGUGGGCGGCAUUAGGUUCUCCUCACGUACAGGCUAGUUCUUAAAAGGUAAGGCGUCCAUAAGCCCAAUAGUCGCUUUCGGUAAGGGGUUAGGUGAAAAACCUUCUAAGCGUCUUACCAGCUCGGCUAUCCCUCACACACAGUUAGUAAGGCUCUAGCGUAGUUAAGGCAAUUAUCUAUUAAAGUAAGUCACAGAAGUCAAGUUAGAUACAUAGGAGUCCUUUACUCACUCGUUGUCCUCCCACCUAGCUAACUCUACCAUUUACCUUUAGCAUAGGACCUUGGAUUCACCACUACCCUUCCUAUUCGUCAUUUACCACCCUUAUUCACUAGUUGAUACUAGACAACUCAAGGAAUCUCAUUCCCCUUUUUGUUAAACACACUUAGCCGCUUUCCCUUGGGAAAAUAUAAAUUACGAUACCUUGGAAUACUCCUUGGUGAAGUGCUACAGCGGUACAUUCUGUGCGCUUGCGGAAUUAUCCAAUAGUAAAUAGAGUUACCCUACCAGGGCACUUCUGGCGCCGUCGCCGAUAUCCGGUGGUUGCGUUAAGAAGUGUCAACAGGUACAACGGCUGUUGAACGAGCUGUUCAAUUUUGCGGAUGGAGGCUUCAUCCGCGGCAGUGAUCGGGUGCAAGCCUUCAAGUUAGGCCGACCAGCACCAAAGGUAUGUUGCAGAGUAUUUUGUGUUAGCAUUCGUAUAUCGUCUGUAGCUGACUCAUCUUUGUUGCUUUUGCAGAUCGGCGAUGUCGACCGAUGCGCAGUGUAUAUAUCACUGGCACCGGGGAUGGAGAAUCCUGCGGGAGAAGACUUGCCAGAAAGCAAUGCUGCUAGGUGUACUCGUUACACCAGCAUUGAGGAGGAACAAGCCCACCCCGUCCCGACCACCGAGGAGAGGGUAGCGGGGAAAAGGCCAUUGCCGGCAGAUCCCUUGCCGACACCGAUGUUGCCGGCAGAUCUACCGGCGGAGAGCAGCCAAGCGCCGAAGCGUCGUCGGCUCGUGCGGAUCGUUGACGACGACGACGACGACGAGGAGGCUGCGCCGUCGUUAGUCCGACGGCCUCGGAGCCGCCCAGAUAAUGCGCCGGCCACUAUUGAUCAAGUGGCCAGCGACCCCCCUGCACCGCAAGUUGUCGAGAUGGGGGCGCAGGUGCCGACCGGCCGGGCGAGGAGGAGGUUCACCGCGACCCACCGUCAAUCAGACCUGUAAGUGUUCGACUUACGUAUUUUGGACUCCUCUUUGCUUUUUUUUUUAAAUUACACUUUUGUUCCUGUAGUGCGGCGUCGGAUGUCGACCCCGGCCAGGCUGCCAGCCAGGGGACGGGCGAGCCUAUCCGCGCUGCUGAAGAUACGCCCCCCCAGACCACAGAGCAGCCUACGGCUGCAACCGCGCCUGGGAGCACCGAGGGGCUCCCGACCGCGGCACCGACUACGACAGGCAGCCCGACCAGGGCUGGAGAGGCUCCCCCAGCUGGCUCCACAGAAGAGGAGGGAAGAUCCCCGAAACCUCUUCCUGCCGGGGGGAGUGAAGUCCCCACGCCGCCCCGAGCAGGAACCUCUUCGGCUGCAGGCUCCCCAGGUCUGGUCCGAGGGCCAGUAAUGCCUGGGACCACCACCGGGGGUGACGCAGCGCAGGAGGAGGAAACCCGGGCGGCCUCCGAUGACGAGGUGGAAGAGAUUGAGGGUCGUCCCCGUGAUGGCCGCCAACACGUAUAUGUGUGGCGCCAACGCGGGGAUCACUUUAUCGGGCAUGAGGAGCUCGCCGAGACCGAGGAGGCCGCCAGGGUGGAGCGCGCGGCCAAGCGCCUCGUCGACGAAGUCAAGGUAAGCGACUUUUUGUACUGCUGUACAUUCUAUGCCUUGUCUUGCAUGGUCGUUAUAUGCUCGCUUUGUAGGGCGCAAUGAAAACGGCAAAGUACCGGAAAUGGUGCUUUGACCAGAUAGAAGGCGUCAUGGCCGAGAACAAGGCCCUUGCCGCGGAGGUAGACCGGCUGCGGUCGGAAGUCGGGGAGAAGGUGGCCGAGAGGAGUGCCCAAGAGGAGCGUCGUCUCGACCUCACUCGUCGCUUGGCCGACCAGUACCGGCAGCGAGAAGGUUAGUCAAACGCUCCGAGCAGCUUUGCGUACUUGUGUAGUUUGCUUUACUGGCCAGUUUAUGAUUCACGCAGACUUGGAGGGGGAGGUGGCGCGCCUCCGACAAGAGAAGGAGCAGCUCAGCCAAUAGCUCGCCGGUGCGCUGGAGUCCGGGCGGCGAGCAGGAGAGGAAUUGGGUCGAAAGGACCGGGAAUUAUCUGGUAACGGGUGCCGCCUUGUUAGCUGCUGCUUGUCGCCCCUUUGUUUGUUUGGUAUGCCGAAAAUAACGCUUUGUUUCGUUUGCAGUGCUCAAGGUGAACACCAAGAAGCACCUGGAUGAUCUGAUCAAGGACCGGGACUCCUGGAAGGUCAACUGUUGCAGGAUCUAGAAAGGAGUGUCCCCGGUCCUAGACCUGAUCAGUCCCGAGCUCCCGGAGAGCCAGCCCCGCGCGCCGUAGUUGACCCCGGUCGAGAAGGCGCAACGGGCGUGGGACUGGCUCCAGCAGUUUGUGAAGGACGCCGGGGAGUUUGCCGGCGCGCACGUCCUCAGCAUGGUGCGCACCCACUACCCCCUGGUCGACUUGAGCAGGCUGGAGAAGGGGUACCCGAAGGAAGUCGGCCCACAGGAAGCGGACGAGCUUCGGGGUAGUCUGCUGGACUUGUCGUCGACAGUGAUCGGCGACAUCAAUCUGUGCGGAACGACCACUCCUCCAGACCAGCCGAGUUCAGAUAGGUCGGCCAGGGAGUUGUCGGGCGCGUCCGUUGCGGGAGAUGGGCGGUCGACGCCUGCGGUCUCGACCAGCCAGGCGCCGGUGGCCCCGACCCCUUCGUCCGGGCAGCAGGGCCAGGCGGGUGAUCAGCCCGAGCAGCUAGGCCAAUAGAGUAGUCUGUAGGAAUAGACUAGUGUCUGCCCGUCAGGGUAUUUAUUGUAAACUUUGUAUGUAAAGUUUGUAAUAAAGUUUGCUUUUUGUCAUGACUGUUGUUUUGAGCGCUGUAAGAAUAUCUGAGUGACGUGUCACCGUAUUCGUCUUGGUAGUCGCUAAGAGCAUCCAUUGCAGGAGUUUUGCCGAGUGCUGUGUGCGACAAGGUAUAGGCAAAAAAUAGAGAAUUUCAUUAUCAAAAAUUAUAAGAUACUUACAAAGGAAAGUUAUUAAAACUUUAUGAUAGAAACGUCGCAGUUUGUCGAUGUGCCAAGAGUUAGGCACUCGUGUUCCGUCUGGGUAUGCCAAUCUGUAGGACGUAGGUCGUGUGACCUCGGUCACCACGAAAGGUCCUUCCCAGGGAGUGGAUAGCUUAUGCAUUCCCUCCUGGCUUGUUUUCCAUCGAAGUACCAGAUCGCCGACCACGAAGGAACGGUCCCUGACGUUCCUGUUGUAGUAUCGCCUGACUGCCGCGAGAUAUUUUGCUGUUCGGAGACAAGAAUCUAAACGCUUUUCCUCCAUGCAAUUGAUUUCGAGUUCUCUGGCGUUGUCGGCGGUCGCCUGGUCGAAGUGUUCGAUUCUAGGAGAUCCGAAGUGUAUGUCACACGGCAGGACCGCCUCGGCACCGUACACCAUGAAGUAGGGAGACACCCCUGUGUUUCGACUGGUCUGAGUUCGGAGGCCCCAGACCACUGCCGGCAAUGCUUUCAUCCAUCGACCGGGUGCUCUGUUGUUUUCGGUGUACAACCUUUUCUUUAGGGCGUCAACGAUCAUUCCGUUAGCACGUUCAACUUGACCGUUGGCACGUGAAUGUGCCACUGACACGUAUUUUAUGACUAUGCCUCUGUCAUCGCAAAAGUCCCAAAAAGUGGUGCCAGUAAACUGAGUGCCCAGGUCGGUGAUUAUGCUGUUCGGGAUGCCGAAUCUGUGUAUGAUUUGAUUGAGGAACUCCACAGCCUUCUCAGAGGUUGCCUUGACCAGGGGCACAUAUUCGAUCCACUUGGAGAACUUGUCGAUUAACACAAAGACAAACUUGAAAUAGCCCGGGGCUGGUUUAAAUGGCCCGAUCAUGUCAAGCCCCCAGCAAGCAAAGGGCCAAGACGACGAGAUGGUUUGAAUUUCAUGGGCAGGUACGUGGGUCCUCUUAGCGAAAAACUGACAUCCUGCGCAAUGUCGAACCAGUUUUUCUGCGUCGCCGACCGCGGUUGGCCAAUAAAAACCUGCUCGGAAAGCCUUUCCGACCAGCGUUCUGGAUGCGGCGUGAUUGCCGCAGGAUCCAGCAUGUAUGUCCUCUAAGAGCUUGAUACCAUCAUCUUGAGGUAUGCACUUGAGCAGUACUUCGGAGCUUGCGUUUUUCCGCAUGAGUUUUCCGUCGACCAGGAUGUAGUUCUUUGAUCGUCGGAUGAGGCGCUCGUUCUCUGUUUUGUCCUGAAGGCCUGUCCCAUCCGAUAUGUAUUUGAUGAACGGGGUACGCCAGUCGCGCCCACCGGUUGUCGGAGUGGCGUCGUCUAUGAGCAUUGCCUCGGUAGGUUGCUUGUCGACCAGGGAGGAGCCUACUCUCGGCUCGUGGAUGUCUUGGAUGAAAAUACCCCGCGGGAUCUGUGCCCGAGAUGAGCCUAACUUCGACAACGCAUCUGCUGCUUGGUUCUUAUCCCGGACCACGUGGAUGUACUCUAUGCCGUAGAAGUUGGUUUCCCAUUUGCGAAUUUCUUUGCAGUAGAGAUCCAUCUUCUCGUGGGUUGCGUCCCACUCCUUGUUGAGCUAGUUGAUGACCAAAGCGGAGUCGCCAUAGACAUAUAGUCGCUUGACUCCCAGCUCAACGGCUAGUCUUAUGCCAUGCAAGCAUGCUUCGUAUUCGGCGACGUUGUUUGACGCCGGAAAAAGGAUCCGAAGGACGUAACGCAGUUUGUCCUUGUUGGGUGAUACGAACAGUAUCCCAGCGCCGGCACCGUUGAUGUUCAAGGACCCAUCAAAGAACAUUGACCAGUGGUCUGAGACAUCGGGAAUGGGAGGCUCAUUGAGAUCCGUCCAUUCAGCAAUGAAAUCGACCAGGGCCUGAGACUUGACCGUAGUUCGGCUCUGGAACUCCAGCGAAAAUGGGCACAAUUCCAUCGCCCAUUUCACGAUUCUGCCAUUGGCGUCUUUAUUGCGCAGGAUGUCCCCGAGAGGGAAACUGGUUGUCACCAGGACUCGAUGGCCGUCGAAGUAGUGCUUCAGCUUUCUUGACGUUAUCAGAAUGGCGUAUAUGAGCUUCUGUAUUUGUGGAUACCUGGCCUUGGACUCGUUUAAGACUUCACUUAUGAAGUAAACGGGUCUCUGGACCUUGUAGGCGUGACCUGGUUCAUCUCGCUCGACCACUAUUGCCGUGGAAACAACCCUGUCGGUUGCAGCAAUGUAAAGAAGUAGGUCUUCAUUGGGCUGAGGCGCGGUGAGGACAGGUGGUGAAGUGAGGAAGGUCUUAAGCUGAGUGAACGCAGCGUCGGCUUCCUCUGUCCAAGAAAAUUUUUCUGACGCUUUCAAUAGUUUGAAGAAAGGGAGGCCUUUUUCUCCCAGCCUUGAGAUGAAACGACUGAGGGCGGCCAUGCAUCCGGUUAGCUUCUGAAUAUCCUUGACGCUCUUCGGUGGUCGCAUGUCGAGUACGGCUUUGACUUUUGAAGGGUUUGGUCGUAUGCCGUCGCGACUGACGACGUUGCCGAGCAGUAGACCGGAAGGAACGCCGAAAAUGCAUUUCUUGGGGUUGAGCUUCCACUUGUACCUAUUGAGUGCCUUGAAGGUUCGGUCUAAGUUGUCGAUUAGGGUGCUCGCGUCCCUUGUUUUUACGACCACGUCGUCCACAUAGGCCUCGACGAGGUCGUCAUGAAUCUCGUCGUGGAGGCAUUGCUGGAUGGCCCUUUGAUAAGUGGCUCCGGCGUUUUUGAGUCCGAAAGACAUGGUCGUGUAGCAGUAUGCGCCGAAAGGUGUAAUAAAAGACGUUUUGAUCUGAUCUUUUUCCUUUAGCGAGAUCUGGUGAUAACCAGAGUAGCAGUCUAGAAAAGAGAGGAGUUCGCAUCCGGCCGUUGAGUCGACCACCUCGUCGAUGCGAGGGAGACCAAAAGGAUCUUUAGGACAGUGUUUAUUGAGAUCAGUGUAAUCAACGCACAUUCUCCAUUCAUUGUUCUUUUUGCGUACAAGAACCGGAUUGGCGAGCCAAUCGGGGUGAUACACUUCUUUUAUGAAUCUGGCUGCUAGAAGCCGUGUUAUUUCUGUCCUAAUAGCCUCCUUUUUGUCAUGAGCGAACCGUCGCAGUUUUUGCUUGAUUGGUCUUGCGGCCUCCUUUUCUGUCCUAAUAGUGCUCGAUGAGGUUUCGUGGGACACCGGGCAUGUCUGCGGGUUUCCAUGCGAAAACGCUCACGUUGUCCCUUAGAAACCUGACGAGCGCGUCUUCCUAUUUUGGAUCCAGGUUGGCCCCGAUGAGGGCUGUCUUCUCGGGGCUGCCUUCGACCAGCUGCACUUCUUUGUACUCCUUGGAUUUUGAGUUCUUCCUGGCUGUCGCCUGUUCGGGUAGUCGGAGCUGGUCGGGAGGCAGCUGUGCGGCUUGGUUUGCUGUUUCUGCCAUGCGGAUUGAGAGGUCGAUUGCCUCGGUGAUCUUGAAGCUUUCUUCUUCGCAGGUGUACGCAGUGUAGACGUUGCCUCUGACGGUUAGGACACCCUUCUCCGUGGGCAUCUUAAGGACUAAGUAUGAGUAGUGCGGGACUGCCAUGAACUUUGUCAGCGAUGGUCGGCCCAGUAUCGCGUGAUAGGUCCCGUCGAAAUCCGCGACUACGAAGUUGAUGAACUCCGUCCGGAAGUGGUCGGGUGUGCCGAAUUGGACAGGCAAUGUUAUCUGUUCGAGAGGCACUGAACUUUGACCUGGCAAGACCCCCCAGAAUUGGGCGUCGUAAGGUUUUAGUUGUGCAGGGGAUAUCUUGAGGGUGGGCAGGCUGUUGCGGAAGAGGAUGUCGAUGGAGCUUCCCCCGUCCAUGAGCACGCGCUCGAAUCUGAUGCUGUUAAUGCAGGGGUCAAGAAUCAGGGGGAAACGACCCGGCUCUGGGAUAGUGGCCCACUGGUCCUUCCUGCUGAACGAGAUCUCCCUGUGGGACCACGUGGGAAAUUUCGGGUCUGCGAUCAGCCCGUCCGUGCUGUCUAUGUUGAGGCAGGCUCUCUUUAACAGCUUUCUUUCUCGCUUGGACUCAGUGGAGACCUUGCCCCCGAAAAUGGAGUGGACCACGUCAGUGGGGCUGACGUAUUGGUGUCGGGGGUCCCUAUCUUGGUCCUCAUCCUCAUCUUCGUGGUCGUGCCCGUCGCGCUUGUUAUUUUUCUUGGCGGAGUCGUCUUGGGCGGCCCGCCGUGUAUAGAUACUUUUGAGGACGCGGCACUCUUCCAUGGUAUGAUUGGACUUUGGAUGUAGUUGGCAUGGUCCCUUCAACGUUCUGUUGUAGUCUUCAUGGUAGUCCCGUCGUCCAUUGGGACGUUUGACCGUAUUUACUUCGUGGUCGAAGUCGCGAGGGCGCUUUCCUCUGAAGUCGUCGCGGCUGUCGCGCCGCCGAUCCCAACCCUCUCGGUGAUCGCGGUUGUCGGAGCGGCGGUGGUUUCUGCUGUCGUAGCGACCGCGACCGUCAUCCCGCCGGGGAGGCUGGUCGUGACCUCUCGCAUCGUCUCGGAUUAGUUUUUCUGCGUCGUCGGCGUCGGCGUAAUUUUUGGCCGUGGCGAGGAGUUCCGCCACCGUUGUUGGACGUUUACGCAACAGCUUGUUCCUCAGCGCUUCGUGGAAACGCAGGCCCUUGAUGAAGGCUGAGAUGGCCUCGUCGUGGGAAAUCUUCGGGAUUUUGAGGCGCAUAUCCGAGAAUCGUCGGAUGUAAUCGCGCAGAGGUUCGUUCUUCCUGUCCCUUAUCCUUUCAAGGUCAUACUUAUUUCCAGGCUGCUCGCAUGUGGCGAUGAAGUUGUCGAUGAAAGCCUGGCGUAGCUCUUCCCAAGAGUCGAAGGAGUCCUCGGGCAAGCCGAGAAGCCAUUGAUGACCAGCCUGGUCGAGGACUACGGGGAAGUAGUUAGCCAUGACGUGCUCAUCCCCUGCCGCUGAUCGGACGGCGAUUUCAUAGAGGGUGAUCCAGUUCUCUGGAUUUUCCUUGCCGUCGUAUUUUUUAAGCUUUUCGAGCUUGAAAUUGCGGGGCCACACGACCUGGCGGAGGUGUGAGGAGAACUGUCUUAGGCCCGGGGGACCGUGCGUUGCAUCGUACUCGAUGCGGCGCAGGUUUUCGUGGACUGCUCUCUCAGCGGCGCGCCUGUUGAUGCGAUCCCGGGCAUCUUUGGGAGGGAUGUUGUGGCGGAGAUCCCUGUGCUGAUUUACUUCUUGGCCGCGUACGCGGUUCUGCUUGCGGCGACCGUCGGCGUCCCGACCACCAUCGUCGCGCCGUGAGUCCCCUCGACGGUUGUCGGGGGAGCGGCUGCGGUGACGCCUGCUGGGUGAGGCCCGGCUACGAUUAGUCUGGUCGGAGGCGGCUUCCGUAUAAGAGACGUCCUGGACUCUCUUGAGCAGAGUGACUGUCUGUCCCAUUGCAGUGAUCAGGUGUGCUCGGACGCUGGUCCGGACUCCCUGGCAUUCGGGGGUAUCAGGAAGCCGAUCUAGGUUAGCCAUGGUGACAGCCACGUUGGCGCUUGGCGUUUUGUAGACUGGCUGGUCCCCGACCAUGUCAAAGGCAUCGUUGAGAUUAUUUGGUGGCAUUUGUUGUUGCUCGUCUGCGCGUCGUCGGACGCGAUCGGCGUUGCGCUGUUCGCGGAGUUGCCUCUGGUCAUCUGUUUCUCCAUCAACGACCGGUUCGUCGGCGCUGACAUUGAACACAAUAUCCCCUCGCCGGGGGGGGAAUAUCGGGAAUCGGUUGAAACCCGAAGGGUGUGAAGGAAAGUCCAGGUCGUAGUCCUCAUCUUCGGUGUUUAUAACCUCGGUGGGGACGGAACCGGUGCUUGAGUUGGUGCUGGUAACCUGGCCGUCCCGCAGUUCUCGGAUUGUCACCAUGUUGACGUAGUGACGAUUGUUUCUUGUCGGCGACCAACCCGCCUUGCCGAAAACGGACUGGGUGUGCUGUGAGUAAACAGAGGCCGAGUUGUUCAGGCCGCAAGGAUAAUCUUCCUUCUUGAGCUCGACGGAUCGUCCUGAGGGUGUUGAGGUUAUCGUCAGAGACGCUCCCAGCCGUUCGUGUGUGGCGACACGAGUUGGCCGGCGGGAUUUGAAAAAAUCCGCUGGAGCAGCUUGGUCGGGCCGAUGCAGAACUCCGUCUAUUAGUUGGGAAACUUCGAGUAGCUUGGAGUCAGCGCGAUCAAGCGCUUGGAGAAGGUCCGAGCAGUCGAUCUUCUUUCCCUUGUAGAGUGGGAACGGUGGUCGGGCGCUUGGUGCCGUCACGCGUGUGGUCGGAGACGGCGUGAUCUCAGAUUGGAUCUGGAUCUCUUUCGAAACUGUGGUCGUGAGGCCGCCGCUGCACGUCGUCCACGUGAUCUGGCCGACGGUGAACGUGAGGCCUUCAGGCACGGUCGCGGAAGCUGGGAUCGUGACCAUCUUGUUCGCCGGAAAAGUUGCACGCACACCCCCUACCUGGCGCGCCACUGUCGACGAAAGUUGGUCGGCAGUCUACCUUGGGGUAUACCCACGGUAGUAGUUUAUCGGUAGACGGUGCGCAAACUACGAACUCGAUGGUGACGCAAGACACAGGCAAGGAUAUUAUCCAGGUUCGGCCGCCGUGUGGGCGUAAUACCUACGUCCUGCGUCUGGUUGUAUUGAUUUGUGUUGAGAGAAUAUGAUGUGUCCUAGGGGCGUCCCUUGCCCCUCCUUAUAUAGUCUGGAGGGCAGGGUUACAGAUCUGGAAACUAAUCCUAGUCGGUUACAAUUGCCAUGGAUAAUUCGAUAUCAAUUCCUAUUCUAACCGACUAGAAUCCUGCUUGAUCUCCACAUCUUGUUUCCUUGUGCGAAACUCCAGGUUGUCGGAUCAAGCCUUGAACUCGUCUCGUAAUGGGCCAAGCCUCCUGGCCCAAGUCUAGCCGUAAGGGUAUAGGGGUUUAUACCCCCACAGUAGUGACGUUGUGACGGAUUCCAUGUCUUGAUAGAUAUUGCUUGAAGCGUUUGUCGAUGAAGUGUGCUCCUCCAUCACUUAUCACUACUCUGGGGACUCCAAAUCUUGGAAAUAUAAUUUCUUCAAACAUCCUCUUUGAACUGACGUUGUCGGCAUGCUUGCAAGAUAAUGCCUCUACCCACUUGGAGACAUAGUCAACUGCCACUAAGAUGUAUUCGCACUUCUUUGAUGGAGGAAAUGGACCCAUGUAGUCUAUUCCCCAGACAUCAAAGAGCUCAAUCUGAAGGUUGGUGGUGAGUGGCAUUGCAUCCCUUGUAUUUAUGUUUCCGUGCCUUUGACAUGGCCCACAUCUUCUGAUAUAUUGCUUCGUGUCUUCAUACAUUGUAGGCCAGUAGAAUCCACACUGCCAGAUCUUUGAAUGUGUACGGAAUGCUCCAUAGUGACCUCCAUAUGGUGAUGAAUGACAUUUGUCGAUGAUCUUCCAUCCUUCCUCAGUGGUCACACAUCUCCUGAGUAAGCCAUCAGAGCAUACUCGGAAGAGGUAUGGCUCAUCCCAUAUAUGUGAACGACUUUCUUGAAUAAGCUUCUUCUUGUUUGCUCCUGGUGGUACAUACCCUGAAACCAUAAAAUUAACAAUAUCUGCAUACCAGGGGUCAGACCUGUUAAUCCCUUUGAGCAUGUCGUCCCGGAGUGAAUCAUUGAUGGGGGUUUCCUGUGGACUCUUAAAAUACAUUCUAGACAAGUGAUUAGCAACAGAAUUUUCUACUCCCUUUUUAUCUUUUAUUUCUAAGUCAAAUUCUUGGAGUAAUAAGAUCCAUCUAAUCAGGCGAGGUUUAGCAUCUUUUUUAGUGAGCAAAUAUUUUAGUGCAGCAUGAUCAGUGUAAACAAUUAUUUUAGCUCCAACUAAAUAAGAUCUAAAUUUAUCAAUGGCAAAGACAACAGCCAGAAGCUCUUUUUUAGUGGUUGCAUAAUUAAGUUGAGCUCCUGUCAAAGUUUUACUGGCAUAAGCAAUUGCAUGAUGCUUCUUAUCUUUAGUUUGUCCCAAUACUACCCCCAUAGCAUAAUCACUAGCAUCACACAUAAUUUCAAAAGGCAGCGACCAAUCAGGGGGUUGAAUGAUUGGUGCAGAGAUGAGUGCUUUCUUUAAUAAAUUGAAAGAUGUUAGACAUGCAUCAUCAAAUUCGAAAGGAGCAUUCUUGGCUAGCAAAAGAGUAAGUGGUCUAGUAAUAAAUGAAAAAUAUUUUAUGAAUCUACGAUAAAAACCAGCAUGGCCAAGAAAGCUUCGAAUUCCUUUUAUAUUCACAGGUGGAGGUAGUUGUUCAAUUACUUCAAUUUUGGCUUUGUCUACCUCAAUUCCUCUUUCAGACACUAAGUGUCCCAGCACUAUUCCUUCCCUAACCAUAAAAUGACAUUUUUCCCAAUUAAGGAUUAAGUGCUUUUCUUCACAUCUUUGCAAAACCUUGUCUAAGUUUUCAAGACAACUAUCAAAAGUUUUUCCAUAAACAGAGAAAUCAUCCAUAAAAACUUCCAUAAUCUCUUCAAUCAUAUCAGAAAAUAUAGACAUCAUGCAUCUUUGAAAAGAAGCUGGUGCAUUACAUAACCCAAAAGACAUUCUACGAUAAGCAUAAGUUCCAUACGGGCAUGUAAAAGUGGUUUUGCUUUGAUCAUCAGGAUGGAUCGGGAUUUGAUGAUACCCUGAAUAUCCAUCUAAGAAACAAAAGAAUGAAUGGUUUGCUAACCGCUCUAGCAUCUCAUCUAUAAAAGGUAAAGGAAAGUGAUCCUUUCUCGUGGCUUUAUUUAGUUUUCUAUAGUCUAUGCACAUCCGCUAUCCUGUGACGGUGCGUUGCGGAAUUAGCUCGUUCUUUUUAUUCAUAAUAACAGUCAUGCCUCCCUUUUUAGGCACAACUUGUACUGGGCUCACCCACUCACUGUGCGGCACAGGAUAUAUAAUCCCUGCAUGCAGUAACUUUAUAACUUCCUUUUUAACUACCUCUCUCAUAGUGUUAUUAAGUCUACGUUGGGGUUCUCGAGAGGGUGAAACAGAAGGAUCUGUUGGAAUACGAUGGGUACAAAUCAUAGGACUGAUUCCUGUAAGAUCUUGGAGUGAGUAGCCGAAUACUGAGUGAUGUUUCUCAAGAAUGGUCAUUAAUCGCAGAGUUUGAUCCUGAGUGAGUUUAUCGCUAAUGAUCACAGGGAACUCUGGAUUAUUGUUUAGGAAAGCAUAGGUAAGACCGGGUGGUAAAGUUUUAAGCUCUAUGGGGGGUCUAGGUGUUUCUGCAAACUCAUCUAAAGGUUCAGGCUCAGAAGGUUCGUCUUCUUCUUCUGUGAAGAAAGGAGUUUCGUCUUCUAAGUCUGGUUCAUCUAAAAGCUCUAGAGAUGCAGCCUUUACUUUCUCCAUAGGAUCAGGCAAAAGAUAUGACUCGGCCUUAUUGUUUAAGGAGUGUGAAAUUGUUAUUGGGAAUUUAAAGGUUUUUCCAAAAGAAAUGUGUAGCUUUCCAGUAUGACCUUCAUAAAGGAGUCUUCUAAAAGGUUGUCCUAUUAACAGGUCGAAAUCCCAUGUAUCAAAGAUAUAGAAGUUCAAAUGAACCAUGGAGCCUUCUACCGUAAGAGGUAGGACAUUAAUAAUUCCAAGACUGGGGACUAAUCGUCCCGAAGAUUCCUUUAUGACCUUUGUUGUGGGGGUUAAGACAAGAUUUUUAAAUAGUUUAAGUGCAAAAGAUUCAGACAUGAUGUUGAUCCCCACAACAGGAUUAUAGAGAGCAUUAAAUCGAUCAGAAUUAUAAGCACAGCGUAUAGUUAUAGAGGGUGUGUCCAAACGGAUCACAUCAGAGGAAAGCUCUGAUUCCUCCAACCAUUCGCUACUCAUUACUGAGAUAAGCUCUCUCAAUUGAUAUUCACUUGGUAAAUAAAUGCUAAACUGGCCGUUUUGGGGUUUGUCAAUAGAAUGGUAGUUUGAAAUAUUUCCAAAAUCGGCAAAAAGAUCGGAUUCUAUAUGAAGAAUUUCUUCCUCUUGUGGCACAGAACUUGGGAUAGCUAAAGUAGAUGAAGAAUUUGGCAGAGUGUCUACUUCGGCUUUGUAGGUUUCAUCAUGAAGGGUAUUAUCCAUCUCAGCUUCUAGGAUUCUAUCUAGGAUCACUCUAGCUUCAUCAGCAGGGAUGCGAAAGAAAGAACCUCUAGACAUUGUGUGUAGCAUUUGUUUGUGAUUUUUCUGAAGACCUCGAAAAAAGUGGAAUAAAAGAACAGGGUCUUCAAGAUUAAGGUUUGGACCAGAUUCUAAAAGAUCAGAAAAAUGUUUCCAGGAUUUCCCCAAAGUUUCAUUAUCUUUUUGUUUAAAAGAUAGGACUUCGAGUCAAAGGUCGGCUAUACGGUCAAGGGAAUAGAAAUCUAGACAAAAGUUGGCUCGUAAAACUCCCCAUUCACCUUGUUGUUGACUUCUGACUGUACCAUUGUCUAGCUUCUCCCCUUAAAGAAAAAGGAAAAAGCUUCCAACGUAAAGUUUUAUCAGAAAUGCCUUAAAUGCGAAGACAAUCACAUGUUUGCUCAAAAUCUCUAAUAUGAAGGUAAGGGUUUUCGUCUUCCUUUCCCGAAAAAGAUAGGUUUUGAAUCAUGGCAAUCAACCUAGAACUUAACUUAUACUGGGAUGUUUGGAUAGGCUGUGAUGAUUCCCAUGGUAAAAGGUCAGUUGCUAAAGGGAUUGCAGAUUCAUGGAUCGAUUUAGAAUUUUGGUUUUCCAUAAGGUAAGAGUAAAGAAAAAUAAAUAAAGAAUAUAAAAGAUAAGAAAAGAUAAAACUAUAGAUACAAGCUAAUAGUAAGACUCAGGUUAUCUCAGCAACCGUCUUUCUCCCCGGCAACGGCGCCAGAAAUGCUUGUUGAUAUUUGGGAACGCAAUAAGGAAUUGAUCCGCAAGCGCACGGAUAUCGGUGAGCACUUCACCCGGGAGGUUAUCCAGAGUAUCGUAUUUAUUUUUUUACCACUAGGAGAAAGAGUGCAUCUGACUAACCGGUCUAUUACUACUAACCUUUAGGCACAAAAAAUGUCUUUCGAUGUGAGUGAUAAAUAGAGAAGACUGCAACCGUAGUCUCCUUCUAACCUUGGUAAGGAUGAUCUACUGUUCUAAUGGGGAGGCUAACGGAAUCUAGACACCACAAAGGAUGUUCAACCCGCACCUAUAAACCCUAUCCUUCCUGCUAACGAGAUGUGAUCUGCAAAGGUAACUCAGAAUUGUCACGUUCCUCACUACUACCACGGUCCAGCUAGUCAGGGAAUAUCUAUGAGUACCCUAGCCUAAACACCACGUUUACGCCAGCAAUGAUUACUCUAAACUCUAUGCGAAGAGAUUAAAGUAAACUCAUAAACCAUAAGAACAAUAAAACAAGAACUUACUAGAAUUUAGAAGUCGAAUUACUGAAGAAUUCUAGGAGCAAGCUACAGGUUAGGAGAACUUGAUCCCGCAGGUACAAGCUUGGAGUAGACACCGACAGGCCAGGCUUCCUCCAAUCUACACCUCCACUCUAUCUCUCUCAAUCUAGUAGAAACUAGAAGAUCUAUUUCUACCUUACAUUGAUUGCUAAGCCUAAAAAGAAAUAUUAAUUAGAGAAGAAGUUUUCCUUUGAGGGCACCCCUCAGUCUCUAUGAUAAUUUCUUCAUGUCUUCUCCAAGGGCCAGGGGGGUCUCCUUAUAUAGUCCUCCCCUUCUAUGCGUUUUUGGUUCGAUAGACGAGGUGGUACUAUGUUUUUCUUGAUCCAAUAGGUCGGUGGAAUAUCCCGAGCGAAGAGAGUCCUGAUUGGCAUCCAGAGGGGGGCGGGCGCCUUGGGCCUGGCCCCUUUCGGCCUCCGUCUUCUUCCCGUGGCUACUGGAGUCUUCUAGAUGGUAGAAAAUUGCGCGGUGCGUUGAUAUCUCUAUGUAAUCCCGACAUGUGGGCCUUUCUUCCUUAUUUCCUGAUAACCCCCUACAGAAAUAGAUAAACAACAAAACUCGUGGAAUUCUGUCAGAUCAAACCCUAAUUCUAGGUGUUGUUUGCAUAUUGGUCUUUUCUCAUAUUUAUUUGAUAAUUAAAAUGGAUACUUAAGAACCGUCAACAGAAAGCAUGCAAAAGACUAACCCGGUCUUACCUACUACCCACAGGCUGCAAGACAAGAUAGUGAGAUAUGAGCGGUAUAGAGAGAACUCCUUUGUAAGUGUUCCUUUAACCUAUGGUAAGUGUGUGGUUAUUGUUCUGCUGACACCGUUUUUUGGACACGUACCCAGGAUCGGUAGAGUGUAGAUCGGCAACAAAGGGCAAUAGUAACUGGUCUGCAGGAAAGUUGCAGAUGAGGAUGGCUGCCGAUGAGGAGACAGUUGGAUAUGGCUGAGUCCAUGGGUGGUGAUGUGUUUAUGCCGAUGCCAGUAUUAACCGUUGCCGAUGGGGAGUUUGCCGAUGACGUGGAAGGAAGAUUUGGAGGUUGCCAGCUGAUCUAUGGCGGUAUCCCAGUUCGUCACGGCAGGAUAGUUUUAUGUUUUCCUUAGUUAUUUAAAUCGUUUUGUACACGGAUUCUGUUUAAAUUUGGAAUGCAAAUUCUGGUCGUGUCUGGUUGUAGCUUUAUGAGCAGGGUAGAAAUAUAAACCCAAGGGCCUUGUAAUGGAGACUUCUAUCAAUCAAUCAAAAACCAGUUUUUACUCAUAUUCCAGCAUCUACUUUUUCGACGACUUCGUCAUACUUUUUCCUCUUUAUUACGUGUUCUUAGGAAUUCGUCGACUUAAGCUCGGCGUGUUCUCAAGUUCCAUGUGAAUACCUCUUGGCCGUGGCAUCCGGGCGCAUUGCUGUUGUCGGGACCAAAGUAUUCGAGUUAUCACCUUUGCCGAUAGUAUGGUCAAAUCGGCUGGCACGCCUUAACGUUUAAAUUGGGUAUUAGCCCUUUGUGUUUGCAGAUCUAGCUUUUGCAUCAACACAUCUUCUGGCACGCCCGGUGGGACGGGAUUCAAGAUGAAGAUCAACAUGUCGACUUCUGAGUUUGAUCAGGAGAACAUCAUCCCCGUGACGGAAGCCAAUCUCAAAGAUGAGCAGAAGCAAGCUAUUGCUAAAGUCAUGGAGGAUUACAAGCAGCAAUGCCUGAGGUCCUUCAGCAUGAACAGGAGCGGCGAAGUGAUCCAGAAGGAUGCGUUGCCGAUGCCUCGGCAAGUUACUUUUGAAGCCAAUCCUGGUAAACUUCAAGAGAUGGUCGAUAGUGCUAUCAACCGUGUCUUGAUCAACCAAGCUGGCGUGCUAUCCAACACAGUUUUCAAUGCCGUGGCUAGAACUUUCAAGGAAGGACAAUUGCCACCAGAUUAUGUGGGCCCCUCUCAUCAUCAGCCAGGGUCACUGGUGGUCAUAGCUCCAUCGGCUGCUACAGCCGCUGCGGGUGCACAGACUACCGUUCCUCCAAGCAAGUUGGGAGUUACUAAUGCACAAUCUAUGCCGGUGACAACUAAUCCACCGACUUCAGAUGAGCAGAUUAAGCUCACUACAUAUCUAUUGGCAUCGGCAAUGUCAGGGCCAGUCCGUCCUCCUGACUGGUGGGGUUUUGGUAUGCCCCCGGAAUACUUGAAGACACCUGGCACAUCUCAGGCAACUGAUAUGAGAGGCAAGGCUCCUAUGGCAUGGGCACCUCCCAAUAUGCCGAUGAAUCAAAGUCCCCAGUAUACUACAACUACUACUGCAAGACCUUACACUGGGAAUUCUCAAGCUCCAACGUUUCAGAUGCCUAACGCAUCGGCAGACUCAAUGCUGAUGCAACAGAGAUUUAUGACUCAGCCAGCGUAUGUUAAUUCAAUGAUCAUGCCCAAUUACCAGUCAUCGGCAGGACCUUUGCCGAUGGGUGCUAAUAGUGGAUGGCUUGGGUAGCAAGUCUUUAUGCAAACGCCCUAGCAGAAUCAUCAGGCUACUGGAUUUCAGCAAGGUCAGAUCUACCCUAGGUUCCAGAAUCCGGGAAUGCCCAACCAGCCGAUAAAUCUUGGGCAGCAGGUCGGCGGACAGCAGAUUGGCGGGCAACAGUUCGGUGGUCAGCAGAUUGGGGGCCAAAUGAUUAAUCCAAUGUUCCAUGCAGAUCGCGCACCGCACCGACACGUGGAAGCUUACCAGUAGGUGCCAGAUCCGCAACCGCCUCAUCGGCAAGAUGCCGAUGCUUAUUGGGCCGAUAAGAUUGCUAAAGUAAUGAGGGAUCAAUUUGGGAUAAAGCCCAAAGUCAACACUUACUAUUAUCGGACACCGUAUCCUCCCGCAUAUGAUUUGAUCCCGCUUCCAAAUCAGUACAAGGUACCGGAUUUUACUAAGUUUUCUGGGCAGGAUGACACGUCAACCAUGGAGCACGUCAACAGUUUCAUCAUCCAGUGCGGAGAAGCUGCUAACAGGGACGAGUUAAGGGUUCGCUUAUUCUCGUCGUCAUUAUCCGGAUCGGCUUUUACUUGGCUUAUAUCAUUACCUCCCAACUCGGUGGUUACUUGGGCCGAUCUAGAGAAGCAAUUCCACAAAUACUUCUUUUCUGGAGUCCAUGAGAAGAAGCUCACCGAUUUGGUCAAAUUAAGGCAACGCAAUGAUGAAUCGGUUGAAAGUUUCGUGCAGAGGAUACGAGAAGUCAAGAACAAAUGCUAUAGCCUGGUUUUGGAUGAUCGGCAGCUAGCCGAUUUGGCUUUCUAGGGUUUAUUGCCACAUAUAAGGGACAAGUAUGCGUCUCAGGAGUUUGAAAGCUUAAGUCAUUUGUUGCAGAGGAUUUCUGAUCAAGAUAUCAAGCCUUUCGAACCCAAGAGAGCAUGGAAUAAAAAGGUAUCAUUUGUGGAUGAAGCGGCAAGCUCAGACUCUGAUGAAGAACCAGUCAUCGGCUUGGCAGAAUGGGUGAAAAAUAAAAAGCCGAUGUCUUGUCCUUUUGGACAUAAAGAACCAGAGAAGUUCACGUUUGACACCACUAAGGCCGAUAGGAUAUUUGACUUUCUACUUCAGGAAGGUCAGAUCAAGCUGUCACCUAGUCAUGUGAUCCCAUCGGCUGAAGAAUUAAAAAGGAUGAAAUAUUGCAAGUGGCAUAAUGCAACUUCUCACGACACUAAUGAGUGCAAGGUUUUCAGACAGCAACUGCAAUCGGCUAUAGAAUCUGGAAGAAUCAAAUUUGACAGUUCCAAGACCCAGAAGCCAAUGAAGAUUGAUCAACAUCCUUUCCCAACAAACAUGUUGGAUGCUAAGGGAAAGGCCAAGGUCUUGACGUCGGAAGCAGCUGAAAGAAGUGCAUCGGUGGAUCCUCAGCAUCACAUCACUACUGCCGAUGCCAAAGGGAAAGGCUUGAUCCAGGAGGGAGCUUACUCAGGAAGGCCUCCCCGAUCUGGUAUUGUGAUAACUCACAGGAGGCCUCGGGAGACUUGGCAGCAACGUGAAGAUCGGUAUCGGCGCCAGCAAGAGGAUUAUCGUCGGGAAGAGGAAAGACGCUGACAGGAGUGGAAUCGGCACAGGGAUCACUGGAAUUGCCCGUUCUUCAUUCAUUGUUGGGAGGAAGAUAUCAAACUUCCCACUGUCAGAGAUUGUCCUGAGUGCAACGGUUAUGACCGGUAUGACAGGUCCGAUCGGUACUAUCGUGAUAAUGAUCGGCGAUUUAAUGGCCCGAUUAAGGGGAGAGCAUCCGUUCAUGAUCGGCUGGGGGGCAGGCUCAGUGUGCACGACAGGCUUGGGGAUCGUGUUGAAUAUUUUCCCAGGAACCAGGAAGAACUUGAAGAAAUGGCUAAUGCACGGGUUCCCGAUGAGUUCAUAUUUUGCAGGGAUGCCAACACUUAUCGGAUGGAGUCGAGGGAAAAUCGUCGCCCAGCGGUAAGGCAGCAGCAACUUCCUCCAUGGUGUCCAGAGGGAUUGACCAGGACACAGAAAAGAAGGCUGCAGCGCGAAAGGCGAGAAGAGUCAAGCAAAGGGGAGAACUCUGGACAGUCUGGGGAUCAGCAACAACCAGAUCCUAAGGGGAAUGGUCCAUCGGCAGAUGUCAACAUGGUCUUUAUGUUGCCGAUGGAGUUCCUUGCGCCAUCCAGUGAUGACGAGUUGGAGUUCUCUGAUCAAAUAGCUCAGUUGGCUCUGGAUCCGAUGACAGCUAUCUUUGAAAAGCCUGCCAAUGAUGAAAGGCAACAUCUUAAGGCUCUGUUUGUCAAAGGAAGGGUUGAUGGUCAGCCGAUGACCAAGAUUUUAAUUGAUGGUGGGGCUGCUAUCAACAUCAUGCCGUAUGCAGUGUAUCAGAAGCUUGGAAAAGGAGAUCAAGACCUGACCAAGACCGAUAUGAUGCUCAAAGACUUCGAGGGCAAUGUGUCCCCAGUUAAAUGAGCUAUCUGCGUAGAAUUGACCAUCGGCAGCAAAACCUUGCCGACGACCUUCUUCGUGAUCAGUGGAAAAGGUGCCUACAAUCUGUUGCUAGGGAGAGAUUGGAUUCAUGCCAAUUGUCACAUCUCGUCUACAAUGCACCAGUGCUUGGUCUAGUGGGUAGGUGACAAGAUUGAAAUUGUUCCAGGAGACUCUUCAUAUGUUAUUGCAUCGGCGGAAGCAGACACCUAUGAAAGGACUAGGUGUAUUUCAGGAGAAGCUUGGGAAAAGGAUUUUCUCAAGGUUGCCGAUUAUGAAAUUCCACCGAUCCAAGCAGUCGGUUCUGAUGAGGGUUUUUAAUGGACAGGUUCGCCGAUGAUGGAAAGUUAGGCCAGGGGUUCACAUCGGCCGAUGAUUUGGUAGAAGUAGAUAUAGGUAGUGGUGAUAAACCUAGACCUACUUUUAUUAGUGCUAAGUUAAGUCCUGAGUGUAAGCAAUAGUUGACUGAUUUGUUAAAGGAAUAUAAAUAUUGCUUUGCUUGGGAUUAUACUGAGAUGCCUGGCUUGGACCGAUCGAUUGUUGAACAUCGGUUGCCUAUCAAGUCUGGAUUUCGGCCACAUCAGCAGCCAGCUCGCCGAUGUAAUCCUAAUAUUCUUCCUGACAUCAAGGCCGAAAUAACUAAACUUAUUGAAGCCAAAUUUAUUCGGCAGUGUCGGUAUGCCGAGUGGAUUUCCAAUGUUGUUCCGGUUUACAAGAAGAACGGGAAGCUUCGGGUCUGCAUUGAUUUCAGGAAUCUUAACAAAGCUACACCGAUGGAUGGCUACCCAAUGCCAGUUGCCGAUCUGCUAGUUGAUGCUGCGGCUGGGCAUCGGAUUAUUAGCUUUAUGGAUGGCAAUGUAGGAUAUAAUCAAAUAUUCAUGGCAGAAGAGGAUAUUCCAAAAACCGCAUUUAGAUGUCCUGGUCAUGUCGGGUUGUUUGAAUAGAUAGUCAUGACCUUUGUCUUAAAGAAUGCUGGUGCUACUUAUCAAAGGGCCAUGAAUUUUAUAUUUCAUGAGUUCAUCGGCAAGCUGGUGGAGAUUUAUAUUGAUGAUGUGGUGGUUAAGUCUGGAGACUUCACAAAGCAUCUUGCCGAUCUACGAAAGGUGUUGGAAUGCACAAGGAAGCAUGGUUUGAAAAUGAAUCCCAAUAACUGUGCAUUUGCUGUAUCGGCAGGGCAGUUUCUUGGAUUCAUGGUGCAUCAAAAGGGGAUUGAAAUUAGUCGAAGAUCUAUUGAAGCCAUCAGCAAAAUAGUUGCCCCUACCAACAAGACUGAACUCCAGUCCUUGAUCGGCAAGGUAAAUUUUAUCAGGAGAUUUAUAUCUAAUUUGUCUGGUAAAAUUCGUGCUUUCAGUCCUCUUCUUAAGUUAAAGGCCGAUCAAGAAUUUGUUUGGGGGAAAGAAUAACAGUUGGCUCUAGAUGAAAUCAAGAAUUAUUUAGUGAAUCCUCCAGUUUUAAUUCUACCUCAGCAAGGGAAGCCCUUCAGAUUGUAUUUGUCUACCGAUGGGAUGGUCAUCGGUUCGGCUUUAAUUCAAGAAUUUGAAGGGAAAGAGCGUGUGAUUUAUUACUUAAGCAGUAGGUUGAUUGAUGCUGAGACCAGGUAUUCGGCUAUUGAGAAACUAUGCUUGUGCUUAUAUUUCUCUUGUAUCAAGUUAAGGCACGACUUGCUAUCAGCCGAAUGCACUGUUAUUUGCAAAGAUGACGUGGUCCGGUACAUGCUGUCUAUGCCGAUGAUGAGUGGAAGGAUCGGUAAAUGGAUUUUGGCGCUGUCGGAAUUCGAUCUGCGUUACGAAUCAGCUAAGGCAGUUAAGGGAUAGAUUAUGGCCGAUUUUGUAACUCAACAUUGCGGUGCAGUGGAGGUUUUGGAAAUUGUACCUUGGACGCUCUUCUUUGACGGAUCCACAUGUGACAGGGGGGCAGGAAUCGACAUAGUAUUAAUUUCCCCUCGGGGAAGGAAGUAUGAGUUUUCCUUGCCGAUUGUUGCCACAUCAACGAAUAAUCAGGCUGAGUAUCAAGCUUUAAUAAAGGGAUUGGAGUUAUUAAGAGAAGUUCAUGCUGAUGCCGUUGAGGUCUUCGGGGAUUCUAUGCUAGUUAUAAAUCAAUUGGCUGGAAGCUAUGAAUGCCGAAGUGAAGUUCUCAUAACUUAUUACGAAAGGAGUAUGCAACUGUUAAAGGAAUUCAAAGAUUUCCGAUUAGAGCAUGUUCCUCGAUUGCAUAAUGAAGAGGCCAAUCGGUUGGCUCAGCAUGCCUCGGGAUAUCAGCCUAUGAUUAAUGCAAUAUCGGCAAUCAGUGCCGAUGAUUGGAGGAAAGAAAUCAUUGAUUAUUUAAAUGAUCCGUCUAAGAAAGUAGAAAGACGCGUUCGGUUUCAGGCCACCAAGUAUGUGCUCCUUGAAGAUGAAUUAUACUACCGAACUGUUGAUGGGAUUCUUCUCAGAUGUUUUGGUGAUGAAGAGGCUAAGAAUUUGAUGGGAGAGAUCCAUGAAAGAGUGUGUGGAGCACAUCAGUCGGCUUUUAAGAUGAAGUGGAUGAUUAGAAGAAAUGGGUAUUAUUGGCCGACUAUACUUUUUUUUGAAUAAUAGGUUUCCCCAGCUUUAUUACCAUAAAGCUAUAACAAGUUUUAUAGUUCACAGUGCUUUAAGAGUCCAAACAAAAGACAGCCAUAAGGCAAAGGCAAAACUCAGGCUAGAAACAGCCACCAAGGGUGUCAAGGUUGUCAGAAAUUUGGUAAUAUUCAAAGGGCGCCCGCAUCGGCUAUGAAUCCUAUCAUCAAGCCUUGGCCGUUACAAGGAUGGGCUAUUGACUUGAUCGGCCAGAUUUAUCCACCAUCCAGCAAAGGGCAUAAGUUUAUCUUGGUUGCCACUGAUUAUUUCACUAAGUGGGUUGAGGCUAUUCCUUUAAAGAAAGUUACAUCGGCCAAUAUGAUUGAUUUUGUAAAAGAGCAUAUUAUUUACCGAUUUGGGAUUCUCCAAACAAUUACUACCGAUCAGGGCACUAUGUUCACAUCAGGGGAGUUUGAUGAAUUCGCAAUCGGUAUGGGAAUUAAAGUGUUAAACUCUUCUCCCUACUAUGCUCAAGCUAAUGGGCAGGCCGAGGCAUCUAACAAAGGAAUUAUUAAGCUUAUUAAACGGAAGAUUGAAGAAAAUCCUAGAAGGUGGCACACGUUGUUAAAUGAAGCUUUAUGGUCAUACCAGACGGCUUGUUAUGGAUCGACCAAGGUUUCACCCUAUUAGUUGGUGUAUGGGCAUGAUGCAGUGUUACCUUGGGAAAUUAAGGCUGGGUCUAGGUGACUAUCUUUUCAAGAUCAGUUGGCUGCCGAUGAUUAUGCUACUUUGAUGACAGACGAGUUGGAUGAUCUAGCAGGGCAUCGGCUGAGGGCUUUGGUGAGUAUAGAAGAGAAUAAGAAGAGAGUUGCCAGAUGGUAUGAUAAGAAAGCAAAAACUAAGGAGUUUGCCAAUGGAGACUUAGUGUGGAAAUUAAUUCUACCGAUCGGGACUAAGAGUUCAAAAUUUGGGAAGUGGUCUCCCAAUUGGGAGGGUCCCUAUCGGAUAAGUCGAUCGGCUCCUGGUAACGGUUAUAUCUUAGAAACCCUCAAAGGGGUCGAGUUUCCCAGAGCAUUAAAUGGCAAUUAUCUGAAAAAGUACUACCCAAGUAUAUGGGUUGAUGCAUAAAAGUUUGAAUGCCGAUAACACUCCUAUCGGCUGGAUCAAAAUGUGUCUGGGGCCGGACUUAAUGUUUCAAGAGAUGCCGAUAACAGUCCUAUCGGCUAGACUACACGUCAGGAAAGAUGAAAAGCAGAGGGGCAAGGAUGUAUUGCCGAUGAAGGGCUCAUGUGUUCAACAGCGCCUGGAUCGCCGAUAUGGCGCGCAGACGAAUCUGGUUGGCUUCCUUUAUCUCCUUCACAUCGUCAUCGACAGAGCCUUCCACCAGCUUCAACUUCUUCUUCAGCAGCAGUGCCUUGCGACCAUGGACAUUUCGCUCUUUCUCAAGAAGCUUGAUUGUCUCUGGUAGUUGGCUUUCUUCCUGUCGGGCUUGGGACAGAGCAUCCUCUACUUGUUUGAGUUCUGCCAACAAAGUUUCUCUUCUCGCCGAUAGGUCAGAGAUUUUCUGCUUCAAUGCAUCUCCUGAGGACUGUAAGAUACCGAUGUUCUUGUGCUUCUCAUCGGCAAGGAGCUUCACCUUCAUCAUCUCCUCGGAGAGUUGGGAAUGAGCCGCUCUGUCGGCAAGGCGCUGGGCAGCUUUCUGGUACUGCAGCUGACGGCUCUCCAGAUGUGCAGCCUGGAAGAGGAUUUCUUCAGCAUCGGCAAGAAUUUGGCCUCUCAAGGUCUUGAAUAAAGCCUUGGCCGGAUCAGAGUCAUCAACUAGUUGGGCCGUGUCUUGAUGGAGGAGAACCGAUAGUUCUUCUAGCUUUGCCCUGAUCUCUGCCGAUGUAAUCCCAACUGCCCGGGAGGAACUUGCUUCCUCACCUUCAUCUUCGGAGAUAUCAAUGGCAAAGGAGAACAGGCUAUCGGGAGAGUCCUGUUCCUGAAAAAGAAAAUAAAGUGAGUCAUUCCAAGGUCAAGCAUCGGCAAAUAAUACUGGUGGAGGUUGGAUGGCUUACUUGCUUCAAGGCGAUCUCUCGCCUCUGACUGGAAGAUGCCGAUGGCAUUACGGGCUGAUCGGCCAGAGUUGUCGAUGGGACUAUGUCAGCUGAAAAUUGGCAGAAGGAAUUAUGAGAACACAAAAGUGGGAUUAUCGGCAAUGACUUCUUAAAGAUGUUACCUUGAGGAGGUGCAGUGCUUGUCUGGAUUGAGGAGACUACCGAUGCUAUGAUUAAACCUGCUGGAUCGGUAGUCUGUUCACUCACAUCAGCCGAUAUGUCUUUUGGCUGAGGUACUUCUGGUUGAGGCUCUUCUGGCUGGGGUUCUUCCACUUGUGGUGCUUCUUGCAGCGGAGGGGGAGAUGGUACUUGUUGCGUCUGGGCUUCUGGAGAAGGAGAAGAUUCCACUGGGAUUAGAGAUACUGGGGGAGGAGAAGGCGUUGCUACUCUUUGGCGCUUUGCUUGUGCUCUGGUGUUCUUGGCACCCUUUCUCUUCGGUUGACUGGAUUGGGGGGCAUCGGCACUUUUACUUCUAGUCUUUGCCGAUGCGCCGGUCUGCUGUACAGAGAAGAAAAUUUAUGAGUACAAGUGUGGCAGAAACUAGAAUCGGUAUGAAUUAAAAGGUUUUACGAUUACCUUGAAGGCCUGUGCUAAGGUGGAGGCGGCUACCGAUGGAGAUGUCUUGGUCCUUUUGGUGGUUACUUUCUUGAGACGCACACCUCGGUGCAUGAUGGCAGCUAGAGUGGGAGCAUUGUUGCUGAUUGAAGAGAUUGGACCUGAUGGGAACAAGUCAAUCGGCUUGCUGCUCGUGCUGACUGAUGGGGGAGUGUCGUCAACCUGCAACAUGACACAAAGGGUGAGUUACCGAUGAAAAUAAGGAUAAAAGGAUUAGGACAUCGGCUUAAGGGUACUUACAGUGUCAUCGGGGACUUUGUACUGAGGAUCGAUCAUGCCACGAUAUGUAAGGGCCGAUCUGCAGAACAAAUGCUCCUUCCACUCCUCCCACCACUGCUUGUAUGCCUGAGUAAUGAAGAGGGCUGGAACCCACUCUGACAAAUCUACAGCUGUAUCGGCACUCGGUGCUAGCUGGGCUACUCGGAUCCACUCGAGAAGGCUAGUGAUGGUUUCUCUGGGUUUUGUUACAUCGGCAUAACAGAGUGCAAUCGGCAGGUGGCCGAAAGCUAGUUGACGGGCUAGUGCCGAUGGGUUGUAGAACUCGUAGGUUUGGUUGGAGGUUUUCCCACUACCAAAGAAAUUUACUGGUAUGGCUCUGGGGGUGAUCAGUGCCAUCAUUACUUCGUGAUCCUUGUUGAGAGCAUCGUUAAACGGAUGGAAGACCAAGGGAAACAUAGUAUCUGGAUCUUCAAAAGGCAUCCAUGCUCGCUGUUCUCCGGUCAGGCCUUCAUACAGGGUUUGAAAGAAUCGGCUGACUUGAUCUGCAUUGCCUCUGUACCGGGCAGAACUAUGGCAGCCUCGCCAAAGUUUAGAGGAGGGCGAGUUGCCGAUUCUUCUUCUUCUAGUUCAUAGUCCUCGGCUAUGUCCCUUGGAUAACGCUGUGCAAAAAGGUCAAACUCAAGACGCUUGUGCAUGUGGAGGCUGAGCCACAUGUUGAUGAACCACCAGGGACCUCCGAAGUUGCCGAUAGGCUGGCCCAGUAGGAGUUUCCUGGUCACUUGGUGAAGGAGGUGGCAGGCUGCACCAAGCAGGUAUCGGCCGAGGGGAAAUCGGCCACCAUUAGCCAAAUUUUCUGCUGCUGCUAGGUAGACGGAAGUUGGUCCUGCCAAUCGGCCACAAAACACGAAUUUAUCUAACCACAUGUUCAGGAAGCUGGUCUGCUCCUUUAUGUGGAUAGGACCUGUUCGUCUGUAUUUUUGGAUGUACCCUGACCAACCGCCGAUGGCGCGAGUUUCUACCUUAGCACUGGGUUUGGUAUCGAAAAAAUGAUUGCUAUCGGCAGAAGAUACAUCUAGGCCAGUGAGCAUAACUACAUCGGCAAGUGUAGGGGAAGCAGGGCCAUGGCCAAAGACGAAGGCAUUGAGCGUGUCUGACCAGAAGUAUGAUGCAGCUAUCAGCAGUGACUCAUUCCUAUGCAUAUCGGCAAUGGACAACCUGAUGCAUUGGUCUAGUUUUCUCUCACCCCGCUGGACUUCAUUUGAGUGGCUGACCCUCAAGAACCAAUCCUUCCAUCCCACGGUAGGACUGGGCCAGGAACGGAAGGUAUCCUUCCACAGAUCCAGAGAAAAAUUCUCGGCUCUAAACGGGAUUCUAUUUGUUUCUGCGUUAAUGAGGUCGGUUGGAUCUGGAUUCCCUAACGGACCAAGACAUUGGAGGUGUGGUUGAUUGGUGGGGAUGACAAUUUUGUUGGACAGAUCCUAAUGGUUUUGGGUAUAAAAAGAAGAACAAAAGAAGAAAAAGAGGGAUAUUCAGUGAAAUAAAUCGCGAAUAAACAUGGAUGUGGUAAAGGUACAAGAAAUAGGAUGAAGAACUAACCUCGAGAACGGUGAAGUUGAUGGCCAUCUCCUCACAGAAAGGGUGAUCGAAGGCUUUGGGGUUGGUGGAGGAAGGGCUUCGUUGGAGUUCUUGGAGCUCUCGAACUGCGCCGCCGCCAGGAAGGUGGAGUUGGAACUGUGGAAUGAUGCGAUGGAGAAGGAGUACCCGAGAAGGAACUAUUUAUAAGACAAAAUGGGCAAGGGUAAAUCUGACUUAUCACUUCGCCGUAUCCGCGAAAUCCGAGGAUACUCAGGAAGAUAUGGUAACUGUUCGCACGGUAAUCAAGGGAUUGCGCAGGUGAUUUGACAGGAAGCGGUCGUGAUCUGGAGAUAUUUUACUGUGCGAGAUUUCCUGGUCGGUCCAUCGGCAGUGUCUUGUAACGGUCAUAUUGCCGACGGACAGAUAAAGUGGGAAUAUCCGUUGGGGAGGAUAAGAUACUUUACUGAACAGAACGUCCUGGUCAGUCCAUUGGCAGGUUUUUGUAACGGCAACAUUGCCGAUGCGCGACUAAAGUGGAAAUGUCUGUUUGGGAGGUUGAGGAUUUCGAGGGAUCUGUGGAAGAAUCAAACCAGGGUUGUUUGGAUUAAAGCUGUCGGUUACCAGAUUAGGAGAAUUAAUUGCGGAAAGGCAUCAUUACUGCAGAGAAUUUCAGAGCAUGAAUGAUUUCAUACUCCGAAAUUGGGGGGCAUGUGUUGACACCAUUUUUUGGACACGUACCCAGGAUCGGUAGAGUGUAGAUCGGCAACAAAGGGCAAUAGUAAUUGGUCUGUAGGAGAGUUGCCGAUGAGGAUGGCUGCCGAUGAGGAGACAGUUGGAUAUGGCUGAGUCCAUGGGUGGUGAUGUGUUUAUGCCGAUGCUAGUAUUAACCGUUGCCGAUGGGGAGUUUGCCGUUGACGUGGAAGGAAGAUUUGGAGGUUGCCAGCUGAUCUAUGGCGGUAUCCCAGUUUGUCACGGCAGGAUAGUUUUAUGUUUUCCUUAGUUAUUUAAAUCGUUUUGUACACAGAUUCUGUUUAAAUUUGGAAUUCGAAUUCUGGUCGUGUCUGGUUGUAGCUUUAUGAGCAGGGUAUAAAUGUAGACCCAAGGGCCUUGUAAUGGAGACAUCUAUCAAUCAAUCAAAUACCAGUUUUUACUCAUAUUCCAGCAUCUACUUUUUCGACGACUUCGUCAUACUUUUUCCUCUUUAUUACGAGUUCUUAGGAAUUCGUCGACUUAAGCUCGGCGUGUUCUCAAGUUCCGCAUGAAUACCUCUUGGCCGUGGCAUCCGGGCGCAUCGCUGUUGUCGGGACCAAAGUAUUCGAGUUAUCACCUUUGCCGAUAGUAAGGUCAAAUCAGCUGGCACGCCAUAACGUUUAAAUCGGGUAUUAGCCCUUUGUGUUUGCAGAUCUAGCUUUUGCAUCAACAGGUUCUAAGGGGGUACCUAGAGAAAAGGGACACCUCAGAGAGUGCUUAACCCUGGCUACCAAAAAUCCAGCUAGAUAGAGAGUAUCUACGAGUAUUCCUAGGCGAAGCACCAUGCUUACGCUAUGAAUGGCUACUCUAUUCCCUACGUGAAGCGAAUAAAGUAAACUCGUAAAUCAGUGAACAAUAAGAAUAAUAACUUACUAGUAUUAGAAGUCAAAUUGCCGAAUGAUUCUAGAACUAAGCCUCGGGUUAGGAGACUUGAUCCUGCAGAUACAAAGAAGACACCGGCAGGCUGGGCUUCCUCCACUUCUAUCUCCACCGUAUACUCUCUCAAUCUCUCUUGUUGCGAUAACCAUAAAAAGACACUUCCAUCCGAGCUAAUUCUCUCUAGAAAAAUAUGAAUUAGGGUUUCUAAAUUAGCUCCUCCCUAGUGGGGUCAGGGUUGUAUGUAUGGCCCCCUAGGAAGCACCACAACCCUCAGAUCAAACCGACCUUAAUGGCUGGCCAAGAUUACUCCUCAAAGGCGAUGGAGGAAGGAUCCGCGAGGUGGAACCUAAUUGGUUCAUACCCUGAGGUGGUCGCCCCUGACAGGUGCGGCUCCCGCCCCUGGCAUGUGUCAGGUGGGCCCCAGCUUGCACGUGGUGGCUCCUUGAGUCUUCUACAUUGUUCCUGAGUGGUAGUUUGCAUGUUCUCUCUACGUCAAUCUGACAUGUAGACCAUCUUUGGUUAUUUCCAGUUGACACCCUAUAGAAAUAGAUAUUCACCAAAACUCGUGGAAUUCUGUUAGUGAUAACCCUGUAUCUACUAAGCGCUUGCAAAUAGGUCCAUUUUCAUGUUUAGUUAACGGUUAAAAUUAGGAGUUAUCUACCAUCAACAAACUCCCCCACACUUGUCUUUCACUUGUCCUCGAGGAAAAGGGAUAGAUUACUUUAAACAUAACCUCGAACCAAGACAUCACCAGUAGAUUUAUUCCAAGUCUUACCUGUAAUACGGGAUUCAAAGUGUCUACCAUAAAACUUUGAGAAGUUGAGGAUGGAAUAGUAUGAAAUAGAGUUCUCUUUUCCUUCAGCCCUAUUACUUGGAGUUUUUAUAAUAUUUUGCAAAAAAAACUUAGCUUAGCCUUCUCCAUCAUGUAGCACACACUCAUUAUAAGUAGUGUUUGUGGAACUCACUAAGACAUGUAUGACACAUUCCUCAUAUGUAUCCUAUUCUAUACAGGCUUAUAUGGAGUUGAAGGUAAUUCAAGAAAGAUAGCAUACUUACCUUGUAUAUAUUGCUAAGUCAAAACUCAGAUACAUGGACGGGAAUACCAUACUCUUAGAUCAAGAAGUGCAGGUGUGUGGAAUAUAUAGUGGCUAAUCCUCAUUCUACUUUGCUCUUUUGAUAAAUGUCUUUCUUCCUCUAAAGAACUGAUGGUCUUUGCAAAGGAUGGUAUGGGCUAUCUCUUUGUUUCAUUCUUUCUUUUUCUUUCUUGGACACUUGUCCAUUUUUUCAUUAAUUUUAUUUUGCAUAGACACAUACCUCCCUUCUGUAACCAGGAAAUAAUGAGGAAGACUUUUUAAAGAACUUAGAGCAAUUAUUCCUACUAAGAUUUUUUUGUGUUUUCUCCUAGUGUAGGAGUAAAACAUUUUUUUUGUGGAUGAAAAGGCAUGUUUGUGCGCAUUCCCAGUGUAGGAACAACAGAUAUAUGUGGGUGUACGUGAUCUUGAUCUUAGAAGGAUGAUAAUCCUCUUGACAUAGUUCAACAAAGUUUGACCAAACUCAAUACAAAACAAGUAGCUUAUGAGCUAGUUUUUAGUAUGUGCAUCAUGCAUGGCUCUAGUUGGAUAUUAAUUCUUACUAUAGAUGAGAAGUGUACCUAAUAAUUUUAAAUUUUUUGAAAUGAUAUUAUCCAAAUGACUAGACAUUAGAAAUCAAGUAUUCGUAAUUCAUACUAUCUCUCUUUCCACAACGACUUAAGUGAUAUGGGGUCCCUAUAUUAAAGUUCCCAACAGCAAUAGGAAUUUCUAGGAAUUAUCAUCUCGUGAGUCUACCUUGUGGUCAUGAUUAAAAUAUCUUCUCAAUAUUAAUGUAUAGGGUGGUUUAAUCCAAGAUAUUUCAUUGUGAAUCGAAACAGCCGUGAUAAUAAAAAUUUGUAACAUAAAGAAAUCAAACCUAACUGUCAUUUGAAACAGGAACCAGAUGGCCACCCCCCUUGGGCAGGUGCCCAAGGUUGCUAGGCGACCGCCCCUAGCAAGUGGCCCCUCGGGGUCAUCUUUGCCAAGCGCGGUCUUCGUGUCAUAUAUUCUCCAAUAUUUUUAUUGUUGUGCGAGAAUUCAUUCGUUUCGAUCGUUGGUGUCUCCUCCACACUUGUUUCCUAUUAUCCUUCAUUCACAACAUGAUGGAGACAAAAGAGACAAGACAAAUGCAAAUUUAAAAUUAAACAAACUUUAAUCUAACUCACACUCGUCCUAUCAAUGCAAAGCUAUUGUUCAUUGAUAGGAACAAUAGCUUUGUAGAAGGGUUCUUCUAUGGGGAUGGUGUUGAGAUCGAUCCCAUAGAAAAUCAUUCUCCUCUCUAAAUUUUCUUUAACCAUGGCUUAGUAGAGAGGCAUAGCAAGCUUCUAAGCAAGAGGAGAGAAAAGCUAUGAUGGGAUGAGAUUAAACCAUAGGCAUGUAUUGCUUAUAUAGAGGUCUGAAAAGGUAUUCUCAGAAGGUAACAUGAUGAAAAAUGGAAAUCAUCUCCAAAAUACACUUUUUAUAAACAUAGAAGGUCUAAGGAUGGUAACGGAGAAAGGUGGCGGCGAAUGGCCUCGGUGCCCGGGCAAGCGCCCCUAGGGUUUGGGCGGCCGCCUGCUCUUCGAACCCAUUCCAACUCAACUUUUUCGUAUACUUUAUUAGUUACCUUUUUAUUCGAAAAAAGUUGAUUUUCCCCAAAGAAUCAAACAUAAAAUGGUUGGGCUCAAUUAUUCUAAUUGAGAAAGAAAGUAAUUAUAUCUGCUUCCUCUAAUUCAUUAUUGCGCUCUAAAAAUAAUUUAAAGGCGUUGACCAUUUACCUUGAAUAACGUACCUUCAUUGUUGCGAACUGUGACGGCUCCAUGUGACGAUGAGCUUACCUCCUUGAAUGGUUACUUCGGAGUUUUCCAUGCCUGAAGAGCUUCACCCUGGAAUUAAAAAGUAAUACCUUAUCGCCUGGGAUGAACUCCUUGAUUCUUUUGUCAUGCCAUCUUUUUACUCUCUCUUUAUAGAUCUUGGCAUUGUGAUAUGCUUUUCUCUCCAUUCUUCUAACUCAAAGAGUUGCAUCUUCCACUUCUCUCUAGCUGCUUCUAGCUGUCCAUGUUCCAUCUUUUGAUGGCCUAGUGAGCUUUGAAUUCUAGCUCUACUGGUAAGUGACAAGUCUUCCCAUAGACUAGCUGAUAUGGAGACAUCACGAUGAGUGUCUUGUAUGCUGUCCGGUAUGCCCAGAGUGCAUCAUGAAGCUUGUCCUUCCAUGCUAUCCCCAUCUCAUUUACUGUCUUCUGUAGAAUAUUCUUAAUUUGCUUGUUUGAUGUUUUUGCUUGACCACUUGUCUGAGGAUGGUAAGGAGUAGCGACGUUGUGACGUAUCUCAUUCUUCAAAAAGUAUUGUUCGAAGCACUUGUCAAUGAAGUGAGAACCUCCGUCACUUAUUCCUAUCUUUGAAACUCCAAAUAUUGGAAAGAAUAUUUCUUUGAACAUCUUCCUUGAAUGCAUGCUAUCAGCAUUCCGACAUGGCAUGACUUUGACCUAUUUGGAGACAUAAUCCACUGCCACCAGGAUAUACUCAUACUUCUUUGAUGGUGGAAAUGGCCCCAUGUAAUAAAUCCCCUAAACAUCAAAGAGCUAAAUCUAGAGAUUGUUGAUGAGUGGCAUGGCAUCCCUUGAAUUGAUAUUACCGUGUCUUUGGCAUGGGCCACAUCUUUGCAUCAAUUCUCUUGUGUCUUCAUACAUUGUUGGCCAAAAUAAUCCAGACUGCCAUAUCUUUGCAUGUGUUGGAAUGCCCCAUAAUGCCCCCAUAUGGUGAUGAAUGACAUCUUUCAAUUAUUUUGAUUCUUUCUUCAGCUGGCGCACAUCUUCUGAGUAAGCCAACAAAGUAUACUCGAAAGAGAUAUGGUUCAUCUCAUAUGUUAGAAUGGCUCUCCUGGACUAGCUUCGUUUUGUUGACUCCUGGUGGUACAAUAAUCAUGAAAUUAACAAUAUCUACAUACUAGGGGUCAGAUCUGUUGAUUCCGUAGAGCAUGUCGUCCCGGAGCAAGUCAUCGAUGGGUAGUUCCUGUGGGUUCUCAAAUUACAUUCUAGACAAAUGAUUGGCAAAAGAAUUUUAUACUCCCUUUUUAUCUUUUAUUUCUAAGUCAAAUUUCUGGAGUAAAAAGUUCCAUCUUAUUAAAUGAGGUUUAGCAUCUUUCUUAGUGAGCCAAUAUUUUAAAGCAGCAUGAUCAGAAUAAACAAAUACUUUUACUCCCACUAAGUAAGAUCUAAACUUAUCAAUUGCAAAAACAAUAGCUAGGAGCUCUUUUUUAGUAGUAGCAUAAUUAAGUUGAGGUCCUGUCAGAGUUUUGCAAGCAUAAGCUAUGCAUGGUGCUUUUUAUCCUUAGUUUAUCCUAAUACUACCCCCCACAGCAUAAUCACUAGCAUCACACAUAAUUUCAAAAGGUAAAGACCAAUUAGGGGGUUGAAUGAUUGGUGCUGAGAUGAGGGCUUUCUUAAGAAAUUCAAAAGCUUGUAAACAUGCAUCAUCAAAUUCAAAAGGAAUAUCCUUGGCCAAUAAGCGAGUAAGAGGUAUAGCAAUGAAUAAAAAAUAUUUUAUAAACCUACGAUAAAAACCAGCAUGGCCAAGGAAGCUUCUAAUUCCUUCUAUAUUAUUAGGAAGAGGUAAAUGUUCAAUUACUUCUAUUUUAGCUUUAUCUGCCUCAAUGCCCCUUUCAGACACUAAGUGUCCUAGCACUAUUCCUUCUCUAACCAUGAAAUGACAUUUUUUCUAAUUAAGGACUAAGUGCUUUUCUUCGCACCUUUGCGAAACCUUAUCUAUGUUUUCUAGACAAUCAUCAAAGGUUUUUCCAUGAACAGAAAAAUCGCUCUAGCGUCUCAUCAAUGAAAGGCAAUGGAAAGUGAUCUUUCUUAGUUGCCUUAUUUAGCUUUCUAUAGUCUAUGCACAUCCGCCAUUUUGUGACGGUUCGUUGAGGGAUUAACUCAUUCCUCUCAUUUUGGACAACAAUCAUACCUCCCUUUUUAGGUACAACUUGAAUAGGGCUUACCCACUCACUAUGCAGCACAACAUAAAUUAUGCCUGCAUGCAAUAGUUUCAACACUUCUUUCUUUACAACCUCUCUCAUCGCAUUGUUGAGUCUACUUGGGGUUCUCUGGAUGAUAGAAUAUUAGGAUCUGUAGGAAUGCAAUGGGUGCAAAGAGUAGGACUAAUGCCCUUGAGGUCCUGGAGUGAGUAGACAAAGGCUGACUGAUGUUUUUCUAGGAUAGCCAUGAGACGAAGAGUCUAUUCCUAAGUGAACUUAUCACUUAUAAUGACAGGAGACUCUGGAUAAUCAUCUAGAAAAGCAUAUCUAAGACCGGAUGGUAAAGGUUUAAGAUCAAUAUGAGAUUUAGGUGGGACUACAAACUCAUCUAAAGGUUCUUCCUUAGAAGGGUUAGCUUCUUCUUCUAUCAAGAAUAUAGCUUCAUCUUCCAAUCCAAGUUUUGGCUAAACAGUCUAAAGAUGUAGCGCUAAAUUCUUCCAAUGGAUCAUAGUGUCGAAAAGGUUUGGUCCUAGAGUUUAAAGAGUGUAAAAUGGAUAGCGGGAAGUGAAGUUUCUUGCCUAAACAAAUCUUUAGCUUCCUAGAUUGUCCUUCAUAGAGAAGUCAUCUAAAAGGUUGUCCUAUCAAUAGGUUGAAAUCUCAUGUGUUGAAGACAUAAAAGCUUAAAUGUAUUGGGGUUCCUUCUAACUGAAUGGGUAGGAUUGUAGGAUUCCAAAACUGGGAAUAAUAUGUCCCGAGGGACUUCUAAUGAAGUUUAUUGUGGGGUUAAUGUCAUGUCUGGUAAUAAAAUUUCUACAAGAGACAUAGACAUGAUAUUUAUUCCCACAAUUGGAUUAUAGAGACCAUCUAUUUGAUCUACAUUGAUUAUGCAACGAAUUGGAAUAGAAGUUGAAUCCAAAUGGAUUACUUCAGAGGAAAGCUUUGAUUCUUCUAACCAUUCAUUACUUGUGACAGAUACUUAUUCUCCUAAGGUUCUUCUAGAGGGAAUGUCCUCAAAGGGUAUUAAAAGACUCUCUAAGAUUUCUCUGUGGCCUUUUCAUAGAGUGAUAAUUCAAAACGUUUCCAAAAUCACAAAAAGAGAUCUGGUUUGCCUAAAGCUACUUGGAAAUAGUUUGUGCCCCAAAGGAUGAGGGGGGCCUAGGUGUCAUCAACAUUGAGAAAUAGAAUAAAGCCCUCCUCUCAAAAAAUCUGCAUAAAUUUUUCAACAGGGCUGAUGUUCCUUGGGUUGAGCUAAUCUAGGAAAAGCAUUAUAGAAAUGGAAAAUUGCCAAAUCACAUAAGAAAGGGGACUUUCUGGUGGAGAGAUAACCUCAAGCUCCUCCAAGCCCUUAAAAUGUUUUCUAAGCCGCACCUUCAUUGUGGGGAUUCUUCUCUUUUCUGGCAUGAUGCUUGGCAUGAGCAACCCCUUGUUGAUUCGUCCCCUGAGCUCUUCUCCUUUGCCCUCAAUAAGCAGAUGAACUCUCCUCCCUCUUUCAGCUCCCCCUCUCUCAGACGGCCUUCAUGCAAUUGCAGAAUGUUCAACAGAUCAUAGAGAGUAUUGUGCUGAGCAAUGACAAAGAUAAGUGGAUUUACAGUUGGGGCUAUGACUGGUUUGCUUCCUCAAAGGUCUAUCGCCUUCUGGUUGGCCACUCAGUACUUCACCGGGUCUACAAAUGGCUUUGGAAAAGUAAUUGCCAGCCAAAGCACAAUGUCUUCUUUUGGCUUAUCAUUAAGGACAGACUAAGCACCAGACACAUUCUCAGAAGGAGAAAUUUGCAGCUUCAUUCUUAUAAUUGUGUCUUUUAUAACCGCCUGACAGAGGAACCGCUUGAGCACCUGUUUCUGGACUGUCCAUUCAUGGCUAUGAGUUGGGGCGUCAUCAAUGUGAUCAUUCCUCUUUAGAGUUCUAUACCAGACAUCUUUGCUCAAAAUAAAAGAUCAGUUGGCCUCCCCAUUUGCCAUGGAUGCUAUCAUCCUACUUUCCUGGGCAAUUUGGAAUGUGAUAAAUGAGUUAAUCUUCAAUGGAGUUCAGAUAAUCAUUUUGAAUUGUCGAAUGAUCUUCCUGAAAGCAGAGUGAAGUCAUCCAUCUUAUCAUAGUUUCUUCAUGGAUACAAAGUUUGGAAGUACAAGAUGUUUAGAGUUGAUCUUCUUUAUUUCUUUUUUGUCUUCUGAACUAUAGGGUGCCGGCACCUUGUUGCUGUUUUUUAUUUCACCUUGUACUUUGUUGACUUGUUCUUUCGGUUUUACUAAAGCUCUUUGUAGAGGCCUCGGCCUCUCUAGUUUCUUCAAAAAAAGAUAGAAAAAUCCCCUCUUGGCCCCGGAACAUCUCCACACUACAUGUCAUGUGGGGUCGCGUCUAUACGCGUAGCACGCAGGCACGGGAUGUGCGUCGCGCAUGCGAGCGCACAGAGCGCGGUCCCGGGCAUGAGCCGCGUGGGCCAACGCGCGACGCCCUCGGUGGCACUCAGGAGGAGCCAACCAAAAGUGGCUAAAUAUAGGAAGGAUAUUUCUAGUUUCUAUUUACUGUUAUUUGUUCCUUUAUUUGAGGGGAUUUGUUACCCCUGUUAGUUGGGGCUACGGCCUUAUAUUAUUGUAACUGUGAACAAUGAGGACUAAGCAAGAUAAUUAUCCUAUCUAUCUAUCUAAACCCUAAGCCUGCGGUAGAGGGGCAUAACCUCACCGGAGAAGACGGUCGACGGCUACAAGCUCCGUAGCCAAGGCCCUGCACGUCAGGGGCUCGACGCCCUUGACAACCUGGUAUCACAAGUCAGCCAUUCCUCUCACGCCCAUUCUGAGCCAUCUACUUCUGCCGCACCAGACAACCACCACCAGCCGCCGCCACCAUCUACCUCUGCAGCACCCACCCCGCCACCUACCAUGACCGAGCCGACCAUCACUGAUCUCCUCAAUGAGCUCAAGAACAUGUCGGCCGAGAUCACAGCGCUGAAGACCGACAUGGCCUCCAUCAAGGAGAAGGCCUCGACGGACGAGAGUAGCGAGGGCCGCCGUUCUGAAGGGCCGCGUGAGCUGGACUUCCACCCGAAGCAUAAGAAGUGGGAUUUUCCCCACUUCGACGGCACGACCGACCCGAUGUUGUUCCUCAACAAGUGCGAGGCCUACUUCCAACAACAUUGCACCAUGGCGGAGGAGCGAGUGUGCAUGGCGUCCUACCAUCUGGACGACGCCGCACAUUUGUGGUUCCUCCAACUACCAAAUGAUGAAGGCACGCCGACAUGGGGUAAUUUCAAGGAUCUCCUAAAUUUGCGGUUCGGCCCACCCCUCCAUUCCACCUCGAUGUUCGAGCUUGCGGGGUGCCGCCAUAAGGGAACCAUGGAGGAGUAUGCUAACCGGUUCUAGGCCAUCCUACCUCGUGCUGGCAGACUCAACGAGGUGCAGCGGGUUUAGCUAUUCACUAGCGGGCUCCGACCACCACUCAGCAACACCGUCCGCCUCCAUAACCCAGACUCCCUCGCCACCGCCAUAAGCUUGGCUUGCUAGGUCGAGUUAAUGGAAUUGGAGCUCCAGGCGCCUAUCCCACCGAGGGCGCCCCAGCGUGGUCCGCCGGCUCCCGCGGCCCGGGCCGCCCUGCCACCCCCACCGCCUCUCUUGGCACUACCGGUGCCGCCUAUGGCUGCACAGCAAGGCCACGCCGAAGGCAACCAGCGCCCCCUUACUCCCAAGGAGAUGACCGAGCGAUGACGCCAAGGGCUGUGCUUCAACUGCAAUGAGAAGUACUCCCACAGCAACAAUAGAUUCUGCAGGCGUCUGUUCUUCCUCGACGGCGUGGAGAUCGACGACGCAGCAGAUGAGGGAGCCGCUGCCACUGGGGACGCCGUGGCGCAGGAGGCGCCGAUCUUCUCCCUGCACGCCGUGGCUGGCGUGUCCAUGGGUAGGACCAUGCAGGUCUGCGUCUUGGUGGGCUCAACCCCACUCAUUGCCCUCCUCGACACAGGCUCCACCCACAACUUCAUCAUCGAGACAGCAGCAACGCGGUCCGGUGUGCCCAUCCAAUCCCAGCCACGCCACACGGCCAUGGUGGCCAAUGGCGAGAAGGUGCCGUGCCCAGGAGUCAUCAGGCACGCACUGAUUGUGAUCCACGACUCCGCUUUCGCUGUCGACCUCUUUGUUAUGCCCCUUACAGGACACGACCUGGUGCUGGGGACGUAGUGGAUGGCCACGCUCGGCCGCUUGGUGUGGGACUUCGUCAAUGGCCCGGUCUCCUUCAAGCGUCAGGGCAGCACCGUCCGCUGGCCCGGGGUGGCGUCCAUGAGUACACUGGAGACCUAGGCCACAACGUCCAGCGCGCCUCUCCUCAACGAACUGCUAACGGAGUUCGCCGACAUCUUCGCCGAGCCCCACGGCAUUCCUCCCCAGCGUGCCUGCGACCACUCCAUCAACCUCAAGGCCGGCGUGCAACCAGUGGCAGUCCGGCCCUACCGGUACCCUACCGCCGACAAGGACGAAUUGGAGAGGCAGUGUGCUGCCAUGCUGCAGCAAGGCAUUAUUCAGUGUAGCGACUCCGCCUUCUCGUCCCCGGUGCGCCUUGUCAAGAAGGCGGACGGCAGGUGGCGUUUUUGCAUCGACUACAGGGCGUUGAAUGCCCUCACCAUCAAGGACGCCUUCCUGAUCCCCGUUAUCGACGAGUUGCUGGACGAUCUACACGGCGCCUACUUCUUCACCAAGCUCGACUUGCGGUCGGGAUAUCAUCAAGUACGUAUGUUGUCCGCCGAUGUCCACAAGACGACAUUUCACACGCACGAUGGACUCUAUGAGUUCCUUGUCAUGCCCUUCGGUGUCUGCAAUGCCCCGGCAACAUUCCAGGCGUUAAUGAACGAUGUUCUCCGGCCAUUCCUUCGACAGUUUCUGCUUAUCAUUUUUGACAACAUCCUUAUUUACAGCGGGACAUGGGCAGAUCACAUUCGCCACCUUUGUGCUGUCUUCUCCGAGCUGCGGCAUCAUCCGCUUUUCAUCAAGCACAGGAAGUGUGCUUUCGGCGAGGCCACGGUGUCCUAUCUGGGCCACGUGAUCUCCGCGGAGGGGGUCUCCAUGGAACCGAGGAAGGUGCAGGCCAUCCGUGACUGACCUGCCCCUCGGUCGGCCCACCAGUGCGCGGCUUCCUCGGCCUCGCGGGGUACUACAGCUACUUCAUCGUCAACUACGGUGCGGUCGCCGCCCCACUCACUGCGCUCCUCAAGAAGGAUGGCUUCGCCUAGACCAACACUCUCAAGGCCGCGGUCACGUCGGCCCCCGUCCUCGCAUUUUGGACUUCACCAAGCCCUUUACGGUGGAGUGCGACGCAUCGACCCAUGGCUUUGGAGCUGUCCUCAUCCAGGAGGGGCAUCCCAUUGCUUUCUUCAGCAGACCGCUCACACCUCACCACCGCGCUCUCGCCGCAUACGAGCGGGAGCUCAUCGGCCUCGUCCACGUAGUACACCACCGGCGGCCGUACCUGUGGGGGCGUCGCUUCCUUGUGAAGACAGACCACUACAGCCUCAAAUACCUGCUUGACCAGAGGCUCUCGACGAUCCCACAACACCAUUGGGUGGGCAAGCUCCUUGGGUUCGAUUUCUUUGUCGAGUACAAGCCGGGCGCGACGAACACGGUCGGCGACGCCCUGUACCGCCGUGACACAGAGGAGGAGACGGUAGGCGCGGUGUUGGCCCUCUCGACCCCCCGUUUCGACUUCAUCACGCGUCUUCGCCAGGCCAGCGAGGGGGACCCGACCAUGGUUGCCCUUCGGGCGGAAAUCCACAGCGGCACCCGCGGUGCGCCGUGGUCUGUGGUGGACAACAUGGUGUAGUACAGCGGCCACCUCUACAUACCGCCAGGCUCGCCGUUGCUGCACGAGCUUGUGCUGGCGGUGCACGAAGACGGACAUGAGGGCGUCCAGUGCACUCUCCACCGACUCCACCGCGACUUCCAUUUUCCUAACAUGAAACAAGUUAUGCAGGAGCUCAUUCGGGUCUGCAUUGUCUGCCAGCGGUCUAAGUCAGAGCACCUGUAACCCGCCGGGCUCCUACUGCCUCUCCCGGUGCCGCAAGGCAUUUGGACGGACAUCGCCUUGGACUUCGUCGAGGCAUUGCCCCGCGUGCGUGGGAAGACGGUGAUCCUGACGGUGGUAGAUCGCUUCAGCAAAUACUGCCAUUUCAUUCCCUUGGCACACCCCUACAGUGCGGAGUCCGUCGCCGAGGCUUUCUUCACCGACAUCAUUCGCCUGCACGGCAUUCCCCAGUCCAUGGUGUCAGACCGCGACCCGGUCUUCACCUCCAUGUUCUGGCGUGAACUCAUGCGCUUGUCGGGCACCAAGCUACAGAUGACGACGGCCUUCCACCCACAGUCGGACGGCCAAUCGGAAGCUGCUAACCGAGUUAUUAUCAUGUACUUGCGCUUUCUCAUAGGUGAUCGCCCUCGACAAAGGCUACGCUGGCUCCCAUGGGCGGAGUUUGUCUUCAACACCGCCUAUGAAUCCUCGCUCCGCGACACCCCCUUUCGCAUGGUGUAUGGUCGGGAUCCCCCGUCGAUUCGGUCCUAUGAGCCCGGUGAGACCAGAGUUGCCGCUGUUGCCAAGAGUCUCGAGGAACGUGAAGAAUUCCUCGCUGACAUCCUACCGCCUAGAACAGGCGCAGGCGAUCCAGAAGCGCUUCUACGACGCCGGCCAUCGUCCAGUGGCCUAUCAAGUGGGCGAUUGGGCCCUUCUUCGACUUCGCCGUGUGCAGCCUCCUCCUUGCAGCAGCAAACGAAGGGCAAGCUUAAGCCACGCUUCUACGGGCCCUAUCAAAUCACGGAGCUCAUCAAUGAGGUCGCCGUCCGCCUCGCCCUGCCUCCCAACGCACGCCUUCACAAUGUUUUUCAUGUAGGCCUGCUCAAAAAGUUCCAGGGUCUGCCUCCAGUAGCACCACCAUCCCUACCGCAGGUGCACCAUGGCACCAUCGCGCCUGAGCCUGAGCGCUACCGUCUGGCCAGAGGCGUUCGUCAGGUGCUGAUCAUGUGGAAAGGAGAGUUCGCGGCCUCGUCCACAUGGGAAGACGUCGACACAUUCUGCGCCAAGUACCCUACUCUCCAGCUUGAGGACGAGCUGAACCUCGACGGGGGGAGAUGUCAUGUGGGGACGUGUCUAUACGCGUCGCACGCGGACACGGGAUGUGCGUCGCGCACGCGAGCGCGCAGAGUGUGGUCCCGGCCGUGAGCCGCGCGGGCCAGGGCGUGAUGGCCUCGGCAGCAGGAGCCAACCGAAAGUUGUUAAAUUUAGGAAGGAUAUUUCUAGUUUCUAUUUACUGUUAUUUGUUACCCCUGUUAGUUGGGGCUACGGCCUUAUAUUCUUGUAACCGUGAACAAUGAGGACUAAGCAAGAUUAUUAUCCUAUCUAUCUCUCUAAACCCUAAGCCUGCGGUAGAGGAGCGUAACCUCACUGGAGAAGACGGCCGACGGCUACGAGCUCCGUAGCCGAGGCCCUGCACGUCGGGGUCUCGACGCCCUUGACACUGCAUCUACGAAGCUCUUGCUAGGCAACCAUACAUGGAGCAAGAAAACAAGCUGCCAACAUCCGGUCCCAUUCAAGGUGGAUAAACAAGGUGUCACCGCUGAGCCCAUGGUAAAAAUGAAAUCACGAUGUCUAGCUUUCACUUACUUUUCAAAUUUAGCUAAGUCUUUUGUAUUUGGAAAUGUUGAACUGGAUCUUUUGACCUGAAUUUCUUCGAUGCAUUAAUAACACUUUGUUUUAACAUUAUAUGUAAUCUGGGAUAUGAUUUUUCUUUACUGAAAUGUUCUAGUUCAAAUAUUUCAAGUUGGAUCUUUUUUGGCCUUUUUCUCUGAUGUUGUUUGAACAGUAUCUAGUCGGUAUUUCAGAACUUCAUGGUCAUUGAUUUCUAAAAAAGGGAUGUUGUGCAUGUUUUUUAUUUGAUAACAAUUUUAUGGUUUAUAUUUAGUACUUUAUCAAAAAAAAAGGACUCAAAAUGGUGUGUUGUUUUAUGUGAUUGCAGAAAAAAAGUGCUUAUAGUAACCAAAGUACAUAAUAAUUACACUAGUUUUCAUUUUUUUUUCUGGCAGUCAAAAUAAAAUGGUAGAAUGGUUUAAAACAAUUCCAAAACUAUGUUAGCUAAAUAAGGCCUGAAAUAAAUGGUGUAAAUCAGUGCUACCCGGUGACACCUAAGACUGGAUUAUGCCGUAAUGAACUUGACAGAGAAAUAAAAAUAUAGAGAAAGGAUAAAAAGUAGGAAUUAAAUGCACGAAACUUCCUGCAUAGCAUCAUUUAGCAGUGCAAAAUAAUGUAUUCCAAGCAUAUAGAUACACAUAUAUUAUCACAUUUUUAGCAGCACAUUAAUUUAUUCCUUCAUCCCUGUUGCUUGUACAACGGGAGAACCUUUUAAAUACUGCCAGAGGCGUAGUGUUUCAACUUCACAGUGCUACUGUCCAGCAAUUCUUAAUCUUGUUGUGUCAACCGGACAAUAGCUUCAAUCGAAGGUAUAAUUACAGGGAUUAAAUUCUAGUAACUAUUAAUUCUCUUUCUAAUUAAGUUAUGAUUAACCUUUUGCAUCUCGAUGUUCCAUCACUGUGGCCAUAUUUGCAUCGUUAUUAUUAACUACAAGGAAGAAUAGAGGCUUAUAAAUGGUUUUUUUUUUUCAAAACGAAGCCACAAAUUAUUGUCUUUGGUAGAGUAUUCAUCGUAAAAAAGAACAAUAUGUAGCUGCAUGCGUUGCAAUAACAACAGUAUAUGAUCUUGGCUUCGAGUCUGACCUACAUGCAUUAAGGAACAGCGCUACAGAAAAUGUUAGACAAUUGACUGAACAGGCGAUCACACAGCCGGAAAUGACAUAUAUGCUACUAGGAUUCAUCUUCUUGCACACAUUAAGUAAGACCCGAACUUUCUUUUUUCAGAUGGAACAUUCUUCCUUACAUGUAGAACAAAAUUCUUCCAAUGAAAUAUUUUUUAAGCCCGAACAUUCUGUUUUCUAAUGCAUUUUUUCUUCUGUUCAGAUAUUUUUCCUUCUUCAUGUAACAAUAUGUUUUCUUCUAAAUUGUUCUACUGUGUUAGUAUAUUUAAAUUUCAUUGCUAUGCUAAUCACUAUGACAACAUUAUUCACUGCAAGUUGAUAAUGUAUAAUCCAUUGUUCAGCUAAACAGCAGUGUUAAGAAUACACAACAGCCAACCAUGAAGGUUUAAUCACCUAUUAAUCCCAUUUAAACCUGUUUAUUUGGUGUUUAGCUUGAAUAAAUAUCUAAUCAUUGGAUGACUAACUGUUUACCAUUUAGUAGUUAUUAGUAGGAGCACAAAUUGUACGCGUAUUUGCUGACCGUAUUCAAGUCUGAUUUUAUUUAGAGGAGUUCAGAUCUAUUUAUAUCAGAAUCUAGAUAUUCAACAUUCUUACUGUAACGUGUCUAUUUGCUCAGAUUGCAUAUUGUGAUGCCAAGAUUCGUUCAUAUCAUAUCCGAUCUAGCAGAUACUGUUCGUAUUCAAAUCAAAUCCGAAUAGAAAUAUGAAAAUAAAUGUAAAUUCCGUCUAUAGCUGAUCCGUUUGCACCCCUUGAAUAUUUUGGUGAAAAUUAUAUUAUUUAUUCGUAUACUUUUCAAUAUCAUGCAAGCCUCUUGAUGUGAUUAUAUUUGAACUACAAAAUUUUACAGCUGAUAGGAUAAGAUUCCACAUCUCGUAGCAUUCUAUAAUAAGAUAUUUUUUCUAUAUGGUAAGGAAAUAUGUAUGAUCUAUGUUGUUUGUUCUAACAUUAUUCAAUGUGCUCAUUGCUGCUCCUUAUUUUUGUUAUCAGGAUAUUAUGGACAACGGAGGGCAGCUGAACAAUAACAGCAAUGAACAAGAUAAUGAUGGCUUCACCAUGGACGAAAUACCCGAUCUUCCAUGGAACAGUCAUAUGGAAUAUGAUGUGGAUGCUUUCCUGGGAGCAGAGGACCAUGUGAACACUAAUCAGACUACUGAUGACGUGGAUCAUAGGAGUCCUGUGGGUGAGACACCAUCCAAGGGUGUGAAACGUUUUGCUAUGCAUCAGAUCCAAGAACUCGAAGCGUAAGACACAACCCACAAUCUUUGAUUAGUUGCACAUUUUUGUUGGAUGAAUGUAUGGUAUCAUCUUUUUCCUAUUUAUUAUGUUUAUGUGCAGUCAGUUCAGAGUUUGUUCCCACCCAAACCCUGACGUGCGCCAGGAACUUGCCACUAAAAUAGGUUUAGAGGAAAGACAGGUGAAGUUCUGGUUCCAAAACCGGCGCUCCCAGAUGAAGGCAAGUUUAGAUCUUACCACCAUUUUAAUCUUACUAUGUCGGCUGUUCUGGCUCUUGUGUCUGUCUCUAGUAAGUUACUGAAUGUAGUGUUGUUACAAAUUUGUUCCAUUAUAUCUAUUGCCAAAUUAUUCACAAAUUGAGGCUAAAUAUUUUCGUAUAUGAUAAACAGUUACAGUUAUAAAUUUAUUAAAUUGACAUACGUAGGUCAAAGCUUAUGGGGAUGACAACAAAGGCAUUCGGCAAGAACUUGCCAAGCUGAAAGCUGAGAACGAGGAACUCAAGCAACGAAGACAGAACCCGAUAUGCUUCAUGUGUACCAACCCUAUAGCGGCAAUUCAGUCAGAGAAUUGGCGCCUGUUAAAUGAUAAUACAAGGCUCAAGGAUGAGUACGUGCGUUCCAAAGCACACAUGGACAGGCUCAUCCGUGAGGCAGCAGCAGAGCAUCCUCCCUCUGCUAUGCGGUCCUCUGAUCAUCAUCUGGCAUCUGCUCACAUGAACAUGGACCCUGUGGCACUCACCGGUAACUGUAGAACAACGACUAACCUGGAGGCUACACUUACCUCGCAUGCUGCGCGUGCCAUGAAAGAGUUUGUGAUGUUAGCAACCAAGGGUGAGCCAAUGUGGGUGCUGGCCAAGGACGGCGAGAAGCUCAAUCACCAGGAGUACAUUUUGCAGACGUUCCCAGGGCUACUUGGGCUCUGCCCACAGGGAUUUGUGGAAGAGGCGACAAGGGAGACAGAUAUGAUCAAAGGCACAGCGAUGGACCUCGUCAGCAUCCUCACGGAUGUGGUAAUAUUGACACACCCACCUAUAUAUCUUCAGCUACAUACAUAAUAUUGUAGUACAUUUUUCAGGUGUACUUGUACAUCAAUUUAGCUAUGCAUUGUAUUGUAUUUUUUUUGCCCUACAGAACCAAUGGUCUCAGAUGUUUCCUAGUAUGGUGGCAUAUGUGAGUUCCAGCAACGUCAUCUCUAGUGGCAGUUUCUCUCUGCACGACGGGUUGAUUCAACUGGUGAUGACCGUGAUCGAUUUCGUCCAUCUAUAUUAUGUUCAUUUUUGUCACAACUGACCGCAUGCCUAUAUGCCCUGUGUGGGCUUAAAUAAUUCCAUGGAAAUUUCGUCCUUUUUGCAGAUGAAUGUAGAGCUAUGGGUGCAAUCGCCGCGCCUGCUGAACCGCAGCGUCAAGUUUCUGAGGUUUAGCAAGAUGAUGGCGAACGGGCGGUGGGCUGUGGUAGAUGUCUCUGUUGAUGGCAUCUAUGGAGUUGAGCAGGAAGGCAGCAGCACCAGUUACACCACCGGCUGCAGGUUGCUCCCCUCUGGCUGCCUCCUUGAGGAUAUGAGCGGUGGCUAUUGCAAGGUACUUUACCACGCACAAUUCACAGUACAAAAACAUUUGGACAACCAUGCAUAGUUGAUGUGUGGUGUGGCAUAAUUAUUACACAAUAGUUGAUGGUACAUAUAUCAUAAUGUUCAAAUUGUUUGUGCAUUUCAGGUCACAUGGGUCGUGCACGCCGAGUACGAUGAGACUACUGUGCCAUUCCUCUUCAGACCUUUAUUACAAUCUGGGCAAGCCCUUGGUGCCUGCCGUUGGCUCAGAUCACUCCAGAAGCAGUGUGAGUACAUUACAGUUUUGCCUUCCAGCCAUGUUCUUCCAAGCAGCAGCAGUAGUUCAGGUAAAUUAAUAGAAACGAUCAAGAUAAUAAACACUAGUUCAUAUAUAUAUGUUCAUAUACAUGGAAACAUAAUUAACUAUUUAUAAGAAACAAUAGCUAUAUCGACACUGGGCGUGGGGAGAAGGAGCGUCAUGGAGCUGGCCGGCCAAAUGAUGGUGAGCUUCUACGCAGCUGUCUCUGGGCCGGUCAUCGUCCCGGCUACUAGCAGCGUGAACGAGUGGCGCCUCGUCAGCAAUGGCAACGGCACCGAGAGGGUUGAAGCAUUUGUGCGCCUGGUGACAUGGAACUGCGCUGACAUCAUGCCAGGAGAGCCAUCCGUCACGGUUUUGAGUGCCACCACUACCGUCUGGCUGCCUGGCACGCCGCCACUCUGUGUCUUCGAGUAUCUCUGUGAUUUGCAGCGCCGUGGUGAGUGGGAUACCCAUGUCGAUGCUGGUGAGGUGAAGGAAUUAAGCUCCGUCGCCACGUCUCCACAACUCCCUGGCAAUAAUGUCGUCUCCGUCCUCGAACCCACUACUGUGAGUCUUCACGCACGCCUCUUGCUAUUUCUGUAUAUUUCCUACGCUUGCAGUCAUCAGUCCUGCAGUCUAGCUUACUAUUGCUUUUCGCUUCCAUUGUAUUGUAGGUGGUUACUGAUGAAACGGAGAGCAGCAAAGUGUUGAUCCUGCAAGAGACGAGCACCGACGUCUCAUGCUUUCUGGUGGUGUACAGCCUUAUUGAGGAAAGCUUGAUGCGUGGCAUCAUGGAUGGCCGUGAAAGGAGCAACAUUUUCGUCCUUCCAUCUGGGUUUGCCAUCCUCCCAGACGGGCAUGGGAAGGCUCACGCUGACCACACUGCUGCCAAUAGCUCCAAUAGCGCUCCCAUCGACAGCCGCAACAACAAUGCAGGGUCAAUUGUUUCAGUCGCAUUUCAAACGCUGUUGCCAGGCAACCUAUCCAGCAACCUUGACAACACCGGGGCCUUUGAAGAUGCAAGACUCCAGGUCUGCCAUGCCAUAACGAAGAUCAAGGCUGCCGUCGGUGCUAGUAACAUAAUCCCAGCCUAAAGCCCCGCUUUAGUUAUAGGUCUGUCGACGAUUCACCAGGCUCGUUGUCGAUUUGAUAGUGGCCCAGAGAAUCAAAAUUAGACUCGAAUAGAUUUUUUUUUUCAUACUAUAUAUAGCACAUAGAGUGGUCAUUAUGCAAUGGUAAGGAGUCAAGUAGUACUAUAACAAAUGGACCGUGCUCUAAGUUUUGCGCUGGGCAUAAUGCAUUCGCUUAGUUUUUGACUGACCAACCAGUCAACAAUAACACUUUAGUUUUUAGACAUCUAUUCGUUUCUCUGAAAUUUAACUUAUGCAUAUGCUGAUGCUGAAAUGUUGCGAGAAGAAAACAUUAUUCAUUAGCUAAAAAAGUGCUGCUAACAUAGUGCUGCAAAACACGGCGUUGUGGCAGUUCAAUUAAUUUUCAUAAACCAACGCUCAAUUUAAAUUUUGUUCUUUCAAAAAGACUAGGGCCUUGUUUAGUUCACUCAAAAAACCAAAAACUUUUCAAAAUUUUCCGUCACAUCGAAUCUCGUGGCACAUACAUGGAGUAUUAAAUAUAGAUGAAACAAAAAAUAAUCGCACAGUUUGCCAGUAAAUCGCGAGACGAAUCUUUUAAAACUAGUUACUCUAUGAUUGGACAAUAUUUGUCAAAUAAAAACGAAAGUGCUACGGUGUCAAAAUCCAAAAACAUUUUGGAUCCAAACAAGGCCUAGCUAUAUAUGUUCAUAAUUGUCCUCUUUCUCAGUCAGCGGAUGAUAUUGUUUAGUUUUCGAAAAACGUACCUCUAGUAUCUUACAAACAGCUUAAAACCACUAAUACUACUAGUGAAGCUCGCAUCAUUGAUUGUCUAUAAGAAAUGUGGGCACCGCCCAGCCACCUCUGCUUUUCCAUUUAGACAGUUUUCAGGUCGCCUCUACAUUUUGUUUUCCAGAAAUCAUAUAUUUGGGCCAAAAAAUAGUAAAAAAUGCACGUAUCAUUCCUCUAACCACUCCACCACAAAGACAUUUAUUUCAAUAGGGCAUAUUCGUACUCUUUACGUUAUCUUUAUCUGAUUUUGAAAUAAUAUUUGAGACCAUAAAUAAACUCAAAGAAAAUGUUUUUAACUGCAAUAUUAUCGAUACCUGUGCGGAUCUAAAAGUUUGGUUUUGAUCCUUACUCCAUUCGAGGUCAUUUCAAAAUUUUGAAAAUCAAAUGUCACAAACUCAAAUAUAAUUUUCCUUGGAUAGAUUAUUUCAAAUGAGAAGUUGUCAACUCUAAAGUUGUAAAAGUCUUCAAGACCUAUAAUAAUAGUUUUAGUUGUUUUUCAAUCUGAGAUUGUUUGAAAAUUUUAAAUUUUAUUGUGUUGCAUGUGAUUCUAGAGACGGCUCUAUAUAUCUAGCCUCUUCUACAAACUUUAGAGGCAGCUUGAGAUCCAGCCACCUUAUCAUGAGAUGCCUCUAAAAAUAGGGAUAUCUGUAGACAUGGCUGAAAAAUAGCAGCCGGCUCUAGGUACUGAUGGAAAUCUAAGUAACAUGUCAAAAUUCGUUUGGAGUUAACAGGAAUCGUUGAAACAGGUGGGCAUUUAGAAUUUGUGAUGGUAUUGCAUUACUGUCUUUUUGGGUUGUUGAACCAUGUAACAUGUCGGAUUCCAUUAGGACGGAUUCCAUUAGGAUGAGUGGUCCUCGGUCACCGGCCGUGCAACUAUAUAUUCAGUGACCAUAAAAGUUAGGGUUUGGGCUUAAUCAUAUAUCAACAAUAUUUUAGAUUGUGGAUUUUCUUGUUCUUAGUUGUAUUAUUAAUUCAUAGGGAGGAAUUAGCCUAUGUCGUGAGGUCAACCAGGUAGUGCAUAGUUGAUAACUAGAGUACAUAUGGUGUUGUGAUUGCAGGGUUUAGGUAUUUGUGAUUGGAAGGCGGAUUAUACGAGCCAAGUUUUGUCACAACCUAUUUUUUUUAAUUUUGGGCUGUGCGUAGAAAACAUUAACGAAAAUAAAUAAUUUGAUAUUUGGAUAAAAUUUUCUAAGCUUAAUUUUAUAUAGUGUCAAAUAGUUAUAUAAAGAAUAUGAAUCUUCAAACUUUUCUGAAUUAAUUUGACGGAAUUUUGGUUGAUGAGAUGGGUCUUCUUUAUCUGGCAAGUCUUUAUCUUUUUUUUAUGAUCAAAUUCAUUGUUUCUCCACUCAAGUUUUCACUGGGAGCUUCUGAAAAUCUUUUCUUUCUACAAAUCACUCAUUUGAGUAUAUUAUCUAUGAAUAUGUAUACACAGUCUUCUCCGGAUUUUUUUUAGAAUUCGAGGGCUAUUGCCACGGCUUUUCAAUUAACAUCGAAAAACCAAAGUCUUUUACAGCGCAGUUUCAGAAGCCAAAACUCCACCAGGACCGAAAAGUUCAAAGCUCAACAUUAGAGCUGAGGACAACCGAAGCAUAAAAACUAGAUACAACCAUCCCAAGACGAACAGUUAAAGAACCUACAACCCAAGAGCUGUGUUGGUGCAAAAGUGGAUCUGCAAACACAAAGGGCUAAUACCCGUUUCAGUGUUAAGGCGUGCCAGCCGAUUUAACCUUACAAUCGACAAAGGUGAUAACUCGAACACUUUGGUCCCGACAACAGCGAUGUGCCCGGAUGUCACGGCCAAGAGGUAUUCACGCGGAACUUGAGAACUCGCCGAGAUUGACUUGAUGAAUUCCUAAGAACUCGUAAGUAAAAAGAAAAUAUGCAGGGUGACGAAGUCGUCGAAAAAGUAUAUGCUGGAAUAGAUGUAAAAACUUGUGUUUGAUUGAUUGUGUAUCUCUUACAUCUCUACGGGGUCUUAUAUUUAUACCCUGCCCAAAAGGGUUACAAUCAGACACGACUAGGACUCGAAUUCCAAAUUGAACGGAAUCCGUUAUGGAAAACAAACUCUAACAACUAUGGAAAACAUUAACUUAUCCACCACAACCGAUCGGCACAUCAUCAUCACCCGAUCGAUGAUUCCUGCGCCUCUUUUUGUAUCUGUUGGCAAAUCACCUUCCAUAGCCAUCGGCAACCACCAACACUAGUCAUCAGCAUAAAUCCAUCACUACCCUUGGACUUGGCCAUUGUUGGGCAUUCUUAACGUCACUACCAAAAGUAGACUAAGUUUUCUAAUUCUGAUAACGGCGCCAAAAAUGCCAAACCUAUCCCUCAUACCACUUAAGCCAAGUUGUCAUCCCCAGCAUGACAUAAGAGACGCGGUAUUGAAAUAUGCAAUUGCACUUCUAAAUAAAUAACAAAUGGGAUCUGCAAGCGCCUAGAUUAAUACCGAUGUAGCAUUUUAACCGGGAAGUAUUCCAGGUAUCGUUAUUUAUAUUUUUACCACUGGGAAAGGAUUAGUAAUCAUCAAAGUUGAUUAUAGAAUGGAAUAUAGAAUUGAGUAUCUAUCAUUGCAUAUAUAAUUGAGAGCAUUUAUCUAUCUCUAACAUACAGGGAUAAAUGUCACAUAAAAGAUAUAUAAAGUAUGAAUGGUGACAAAGAUAAUUAAUCAGAUCAGCAUAACUUAGCCACAUAUAAAUAUGAUAAGCACCUCAAUUAGAUAUUCUAACAAGUCAUUAGCAUAGAAUUAGGACGAACUACAAGAAUAUUUCCUAUGUUAUUCUCAACUAUACAGUCUAGCAUAUCAUAGUUAGUGCAAUUAUACUUAGCAAUCAUUGUGAGACACGACUACGCCCAUGCAUAGUGAUAUUAUCAAGGAAAAUAAGAAACAUCGCAAUCACUCCCCUGUAAUAAUGUUGCUCUGCCAGCCCAAUACACGAGAGGGGGACUAUAUAAGAAUCAAUGGAGCUGUCACUACCACGAACUACCCCACAAUCUGGCAUAUAGGGUACAAUCGCAGAUAAAUACAGUAUAAGCACCACGCCAACACAAUAUUUAUCAUUUACCAAUGGAUCCGAUGGAUAAACGCUAUACAAUCCUAAACAUGUAUAUAAUUCCAAUCUAACUAAGCCAAGUAUAUAACUAUGAUAAACUAAGAACAAUAUAAUUGCGAAUAUAAAUAAGUAGAGCAAAGUCAUAAUCAUUAUAUUGAAGUAGAACAAAGUCAUAUUCAUAAUAUCCAAGAACAAAGAUGAACAAUUUAAGAACAAUAGAGAAUUGCCAAGAAUCCUCUUGACAGAUCCGGAAACCAAUCGAAGAUUGACUCCUUCUAGUUCUAAUCCUAUGUAGCUAAGCUAAUCUAGAGAUCUAAUUGAUGUGGUGGCUCUAGGGCUUGAGCAGAGGCUUCUUCUCCCUGAUGAAUAAUGAAUUAGGGUUGAGAGGUGCUCUCCUCCCGGGCCCAGGGGGUCUGGUUAUAUAGUCCUUCCAAGUGAAUAUGGGCCGUCGGAUCAAACCAACAUCGAUUGAACGGUUAUCCUUGAUCCUUUAGGUCGGUGGAGCAUGAUCCCCGAAGAGGACUCUGAUUGGGCACCAAAGGGGGGCGGGCGCCCCGGUCUCUAGGGCGGGCGCCCUGGGCUAGGCCCCGUUCUGCCUCCGCUUCGUUCCCGUGGCUUCUGGAGUCUUCUAGAUGUAAGAUAAUUGCACCGCACGUUAAUAUCUCUAUGUAAACCUGACGUGUGGCCCUUUCUUCCGUAUUUCCUGAUAACCCCCUGCAGAAAUAGACAAACACCAAAACUCGUGGAAUUCUGUCAGAUAAAACCCUAAGUCUGGAUGUUGAUUUCAUUUGGAUCCUUUUCUUUGUUUAUUUGAUAAUUAAAUUUGAUAAUUAAGGACCGUCAACAAACUCCCCCAAGCUUACCUCUUGCUCGUCCCUGAGCAAAGAUAAUCUCUGUGAUGGAUCAGAAGUUGCUGAAAUACCUUUUAAAAAUUGACGGUACACAUGCUUCUAAAUGAGGUCUCAUCUCUGAGUUAGAGUAAACUAUCAAGACUUAAAACUUACUUACUUUACCUUUCACCAUGGGACUUGUAACCGUCACUUCUGUCUUGAGCAGUUAAAAGAUAGAACGGUCUAGUCAAGCGCCAUGUCUCUUAUUCUUGAUCAGCUAUAGCUCUGGAGUUUUUGCAGACUUUCAAAUAAAACUCAGAGAUUCCUUGUAUGACUCUCUCAGAUCUCUCUUUUGUGGUAUUUCUGGAUCCUUAUCAAGGCAGUAAUGGUAUAUGCCUUCUCUCAAAAUAUGUGAUAUUUGUGGUAUAAGGCAUAGUGACAUUGCCUUCUCUCUCACCCUACUCUAAUAAGGCUUUUGAUAUCUGGAGCUCAUAGGUGGGAGAUAAAGUAUAAAUACCUACAAGACAUUUAUUACAUAGUCAAACCAUGGAUCCAAAGAAACAAGUCAAAUAAGUCAAAUCAAGAUGUGCAUGUGUGGCGAAUGAAUGGUGUAUGAUGAUGAUGGUGAUAACAAUGGUGAAAGUCUAAUUCUACUUUUGCUCUUUUGAGGGGAUACAUACCUACCUUGCUCUUUGAAACUUUUUGAGGAGAAUAAGAUGCUCUAUAUUUUCUUAUUCUUUCCUCUCAGGUGGGUAUCUUGUACCCCUAAUUCUACUGUCGGACACUUGUCCAUUUUUACCUCUCGUCUCACUUUUUCUCUUUUUUCGAGGUUCCGCGCACUUGCCCCUUUUUAUUUUCUCGUAUCCUUUUUUUAGAGCACUCAUCUCCUGAAAUAAUAUAGCAAGUGGUAGUAACCAAAAUAACAUGAGCAUUUAUUUCACAGGGGAAUACAAAAAUGUUUUUGGCUAUUCUCUCCCGGAUUAGGAGUAGAAUAUUUUUGGGUAGUUCUGGAGAUGGAAAUGGGUGGAUAUAUGUGGAUGCAUACUUCCGGAGUAGAAGCAGCAUGUGUGAGUGAACCUGCAAGCGAAUCUUGAUUUAACCACAUGACAAGCUCCUAAGGGUCUACACAGCUUGACCACACUCAAUGCUCAUAAGCAGUAAAAAAGUAUAUGUGUGGCUCAAAGUCUAGCAAGCAUGUAUAUAUGGCUGUGGUAAGAAUUUAAACUCUCAUCAUACAGGAACUCAUAAUGCAACAUUUUGAAGAUUUUCAAAGAUAAAAUUCUCCAGAAUUCUAGCAUCUCUAGGAACAGAUAAACAGUAGCUCAACCUUCCCAUAUCAUAUCCGUUAACAACUUAGACUUCAGAUCAAGUACUCUUCCCACAAGUUCAGGUUUAGAGCAAAUCUUAAUUAAUAAUAGUCAUGCCUAAACUUGAGAGAGAUUUCAAUUUUGAGAACUAGUCAUGGCAGAGCAACUAUUCAUCAUUUCCAUGUGAGAGCUUAUCAUGAGGGUUCAUAGCAAACUUUAUUUAUUUAUUUAUUUAGCAAACUAAGUAAAGAUAUAUAUAUAAGCACAAAAUCCUUAUUUGGGUUUUUAUGAUUAUACAUCUUUUUAUUAUUAGAGUAAAGUAUAAACGUGAGUAGAACACUUAGGUGGAUAAAUUAGGGUGCUCUCCCCAAAGCUGGAUUUUGACGCAAUUUCUUCUGAUGUAGCUAGCAGGUGGCGGAGGUGUAUUUGAAUGUCGGCAGCACUCUGACAACGGUUAGGAUGUCCUCCGUCUGCUAGUCUUCUUUGAUCCUUGAAUUCUAUGGAGCUCAAAUAGACAACAAAGCUUUGUGGAACUAGUUAAGUGUUAGCAUAAAUAUCUAGCCUUUAUCAUGUUGAGCCUCCUCAAUAAAUGUUACUCUCUUUAGUAGGAUCAUAAAUUUAUUUUUAUAUUUUCAUUUUAUAGGACAGGAAUAUAUUUAUUUUAUUUUUACGCCACCAUAGUGAAUGAACUUAUGGGUUUUAUGCCAUGAGCAUACUCACAUGGGGCUUACUAUUUUUAACAUUUUUAUUUUCUUUUCAAGAUGAUAUGAACCUGAUUAACUAAGCAAACUAUUUUAAAUAAUUAAAAGAAAAAAAGAUAACUACCAAGUUUACCUCUUGGCAAGGCGUUUGGUGUUUUUAACUCCUCCAAACGGGACUCUCCGUUUUCUCAGUCGUCCUGGGAUUCGUUGGAUGGCGUAGUCGGUGGAUCCGGCGGCGCCUGCUCUUCAUGUAUAAUUAUGUUCUCUCUCCACACCUGACUCGGUGCUAUGGUCUCCUCAGGACAGUUCUGUUCAUGUAUGUCUUCAUACCUUCCUACUUCUUAUUGGGUAUUCUUAACGUCAUUACCAAAAGUAGACUUAGUUUUCUAAUUUUGAUAACAGUGCCAAAAAUGCCAAACCUAUCCCUCAUACCACUUAAGCCAAGUUGUCAUCCCCAGCAUGAUAUGAAAGACGCGGUAUUGAAAUAUGCAAUUGCUCAUCUAAAUAAAUAAUGAAUGCGAUCUGCAAGCGCACAGAUUAAUACCGAUGUAGCAUUUUCACCGGGAAGUAUUCUAGAUAUCGUUAUUUAUAUUUUUACCACUGGGAAGGGAUUAGCAAUCAUCAAUAUUGAUUAUAGAAUGGAAUAUGAGAUUGAGUAUCUAUCAUUGCAUGUAUAAUUGAGAACAUUUGUCUAACUCUUCCAUACAGGGAUAAGUGUCACAUAAAGGAUAUAAAGUAAUGAAUAGUGACAAAGAUAAUUAAUCUGAUCAGCAUAACUUAACCACAUAAUAAAUGUGAUAAGCACCUCAAUUAGAUAUUCUAGCAAGUCAUUAGCAUGGAAUUAGAACGAACUACAAGAAUAUUUCCUAAGUUAUUCUCAACUAUAUAGUCUAGCAUAUCAUAGUUAGUGCAAGCAUACUUAGCAAUCAUUGCGAGAAAAGACUACGCCCAUGCAUAGUGAUAUUAGCAAGGAAAAUGAGAAACAUCGUAAUCACUCCCCUGUAAUAAUGUUGCUCUGCCAGCCCAAUACACGAGAGGGGGACUAUAUAAGAAUCAAUGAAGCUGUCACUAUCACGAACUACCCCGCGAUCUGGCAUAUUGGGUACAAUCGCAGAUAAAUACGGUAUAAGCACCACGCCUACACAAUAUCUAUCAUUUACCCAUGGAUCCGAUGGAUAAACGCUAUAUGAUCCUAAACAUGUAUAUAAAUCCAAUCUAACUAAGCCAAGUAUAUAACUAUGAUAGACUAAGAACAAUAUAAUCUUGAAUAUAAACAAGUAGAGCAAAGUCAUAAGCAAUAUAUUGUAGUAGAACAAAGUCAUAUUCAUAAUAUUGAAGAACAAAGAUGAACAAUUAGAAGAGCAAUAGAGAAUUACCACGAAUCCUCUUGACAGAUCCGGAAACCAAUCGAAGAUUGACUCCUUCUAGUUCUAAUCCUAUGUAGCUAUGCUAAUCUAGAUGUUAAAUUGAUGUGGUGGCUCUAGGCUUGAUCAGAGGCUUCUUCUCCCUUGAUGAAUAAUGAAUUAGGGUUGAGAGGCUCUCUCCUCCAAGGGCCAGGGGUCUGGUUUUAUAGUCCCUCCAAGUGAAUAUGGGCCGUUGGAUCAAACCGACAUUGAUUGAACGGUUAUCCUUGAUCCUUUAGGUCGGUGGAGCUUAAUCCCAAAAGAGAGUUCUGAUUGGACUCUACAGGGGGGCGGGCGCCCAGGGCCAGGCCCCGUUUUGCCUCCGCUUCGUUCCCGUGGCUUCUGGAGUCUUCUAGAUGUAAGAUAAUUGCGCAGCACGUUAAUAUCUCUAUGUAAUCCCGACUUGUGGGCCUUUCUUCCGUAUUUCCUGAUAACCCCCUGUAGAAAUAGACAAACACCAAAACUCGUGUAAUUCUGUUAGAUAAAACCCUAAGUCUGGAUGUUAAUUUCAUUUGGAUCCUUUUCUUUGUUUAUUUGAUAAUUAAAUUUGAUACUUAAGGACUGUCAACAAACUCCCCCAAGCUUACCUCUUGCUCGUCCCUAUGCAAGGAUAAUCUCAGCGAUGGAUCAUAAGUUGUUGCAAUAUCUUUAAAAAUUGACGGUACACAUGCUUUUAAAUAAGGUGUCAUCUCUGAGUUAGAGUAAACUGUCAAGACUUAAAACUUACUUACUUUACCUUUCACCAUGGGACUUGUAACCGUCUCUUCUGUCUUGAGUAGUUAAAAGAUAGAACGGUCUAGUCAAGUGCCAUGUUUCUUAUUCUUGAUCAGCUAUAGCUCUGGAGUUUUUGCAGAUUUUCAAAUAAAACUCAGAGAUUCCUUGUAUGACUCUCUCAUAUCUCUCUUUUGUGGUAUUUCCGGAUCCUUACCAAGGCAGUGAUGGUAUAUGCCUUCUCUUAAAAAGUAUGUGGUAUUUGUGGUAUAAGGCAUAGUGACAUUGCCUUCUCUCUCACCCUACUCUAAUAAGGAUUUUAAUAUCUGGAGCUCAUAGGUGGGAGAUAAAGUAUACAUACUCACAAGACAUUUAUUGUAUAGUCAAACCAUGGAUCCAAAGAAACAAAUCAAUAAGUCAAAUCAAGAUGUGCAUGUGUGGCGAAUGAAUGGUAUGUGGUGAUGAUGGUGAUAACAAUGGUGAAAGUCUAAAUCUUUUGCUCUUUGAGAGGAUACAUACCUUCCUCGCUUUUUGAAACUUUGUGAGGAGAAUGAGAUGCUCUAUAUUUUCUUUUUUCUUUCCUCUCAGGUGGGUAUCUUGUACCCCUAAUUCUACUGUCGGACACUUGUCCAUUUUUACCUCUCGUCUCACUUUUUCUUUUCUUUUGAGGUUCCGGGCACUUGCCCCUUUUUAUUUCCUCGUAUCUUUUUUUUAAAAGAGCACUCAUCUCUUGAAAUAUAGCAAGUGGUAGUAACAAGAUAACUCGAGCAUUUAUUUCAUAGGGGAAAAACAGAAAUAUUUUUGGCCAUUCUCUCCCGGAUUAGGAGUAGAAUGUUUUUGGGUGGUUCUAGAGAUGGAAAUGAGUAGAUAUAUGUGGAUGGUACUUCCGGAGUAGAAGUAGCAUCUGUGAGUGAACGUGCAAGUGAAUCUUGAUUUGACCACAUGACAAGCUCCUAAGGGUCUACACAGCUUGACCACACUCAAUGCUCAUAAGCAGUAAAAAGUAAAUGUGUGGCUCAAAGUCUAGCAAGCAUGUAUAUAUGGCUGUGGUAGGAAUUUA
This 86441-nucleotide long non-coding RNA is filed under the name Sorghum bicolor (sorghum). RNAcentral describes it as "long non-coding RNA (SBIC_LNC010134)". The record is from RNAcentral. Lineage: Eukaryota; Viridiplantae; Streptophyta; Magnoliopsida; Poales; Poaceae.